Molecule: long non-coding RNA, 46284 nt
Filed under: Gossypium raimondii (Peruvian cotton)
Lineage: Eukaryota; Viridiplantae; Streptophyta; Magnoliopsida; Malvales; Malvaceae
Description: long non-coding RNA (GRAI_LNC005898)
Source: RNAcentral
GACCACUCUUGCCAAGAAAAUAUAUCGUCAAAGCCAAGUUGUUGGUCAUUUCGAGCACUUGGCUUGGGCAUUUGUUUCUCAAAACUGUCAAAUAAGAAAAAUUUGGGAAGACAUUCUAUCUGAUCUCAACAUCUUAACAGAAGUUGACAAGAAGAUGAAGGUUGAAAAACUAGCAGAGAAGUUAUCUAGUUUCUUGGAGGAAAACAAAUGUUUGGUGAUACUCGAUGAUAUUUGGAACACCAAAGCUUGGGAUAGCUUAAAACCAGCAUUUUCAGCAAGAGAGACGAAAAGCAAGAUCUUACUCACCUCUCGGAACAAGGAGAUAGUUGCACACGCCGACAAAAAUGGUUUCUUAUAUGAGUUGCAGGAACUAGACUACAAUCAGAGCUGGGAACUAUUUCAAAAGAUUGCCUUCCCCCAAUCAAAUUCUCCAGGUAAUAUGUUUACUGAUUUCAUAAUCGCAAUAUUAUUCUAUCUUAAUAUAUAUUGCAACAUUUGCUCUACAUUCUAUUUUUUUUGUUUGGCUAAAAGAAUUUUAUAUUUUAAAAUGGCAUAAUAAUUUAUUUUACUCACCAACUUUAUAAAAAAAUUUAUUUUAACCAUUUAUUUAUUACUUUUUUAGCCAUCCAUUUUAGACAUACACAUGACCGUCCACGUAUGUCAGUAAUUAAUUAAUUAUUUUUAAUUAAAAAUAUUAAAAUAUAUAUUUAUAUUUUUUUAAGAAUUUUAAGAAUAAUUAAUUUUUAAAAAAUAUUUUUUAUAAUUUAUUUGAAUUUUUAAAAUUUUAAAAAUUAAUUAAUUGCUUACAUGACAUCCACUUGUAUGUCAAUUCAAUAAAGUUAAUAUAUGUUUAGUCAUCAUUCUUCUCAAUUUUUUUUCGUGUUUAUGUCUUGCCCCCAAAAGCUUUCCAGAGUUUGUUAAUUGAUUUAUUGUAUGAAUUUUGUAAUCUUUUAUGAUAAAUUUGAUCAUAGUUUAUUUUGGUAAACUUAUAUAAAGUAGUAUCUGAAUAUUAAAUUUAUGAAAAAUAAAUUUAAAUAAUCUUAGUAAUACAAAUUGAGCAAUUAAUUUAUUUUGAUCAUAUUACUAAAUUCACAUCUAAAAAAAUUGAAGUAAACUAGAAGUUAAGAUAAUUUAUUUUACUUCAAUAGAUUUAUUACUUGAAUGUAAUUCUAAGCAUAAAAUAUAGAAAAAAAAGUUGUGAUAAUUGUAAUUAUUAUUAGUUAAAAAUUUGAUGUAAAAAAGAAGGUAAGUUAAUUUUAUUAAUAAAAAUAGAGUUGUUACUUGAUAAAAUUUUAAGCAUCUUAACAACCACUUAAUUAAUAUUAGAGUUAAUUAUAUUCAUUAGUUUUUAUGUUGAAUAAUGUUUUUUUGCAUUAAUUACAUAAAAUAAAACUAUAUUGUAUGUUGAAUAUGUUAAGAAUAUUUUAAUUAUGAUUUGAAAAUUUUAUAUUAUAAUAUUUAAAUUAAUAAUUUUAUAUAUUUUAAUUAUAUUCAAUAUUUCAUACAAGAAAUAUUAUUUUAUGUUAAUUACCGCAACUAAAAAUAAAAUAUUUUAAAAUUUUAAUUAAAUAGUAAACAUAUAAAAUCUCAUGCAACCCAUAUGAUAAUAGAAGUUAAUAUAAUAAAAUUUGUAAAAUUUUAGCAUAAUUAUUUCAUUUUCAUGAAGUUGGUUAAAUUUGGAUAACUUUUUGUACAAAUAAAAAUACUAUAAAACCAGGUGUUUCAAUGUCAUAAAUCAAUUGUAGGGAUUUACUAAAUUAAAUUAACUUUCAUUCGUAUGAUUCGUUACAGAAAUACAUAUUACAAGGAGAAAUCAUAACACCACAACACAUUUGUAAAGAAUUAUAAAUCAAUUGUAGGAAUCACAUGCAAGAAAUCACUUGUCAAAAACCAUUUUAUUUAUUUUUAAUAACUUUUAAAAUUGUUAAAUUGGUGGUAAUAUUGUGGUUUAAUUUAUCGGCAACUUGCAUUGCAUAUUGCUUCACUAAUUAUUUGAAAUUCUUGAGUAUGUUAAUAUUGUGGUAAAUUAUUAAACUGUUAUCACUGAUUUUUUUGAAACUUUGUUUUGGUAUCCUACAGGCUAUAAAAUUGAUGCGAAAAUGAAGGAGUUGGGAGAGGACAUGGUUAAACACUGUGCAGGGCUUCCAUUAGCCAUCAUUAUAUUGGGAGGAAUUUUGGCUACAAAGUAUCCUUCAUUAACUGAAUGGCUGAGGGUAUCUGCAAAUGUGAAAUCAUACUUGAACAACGAUAAAGGUGAAGUACUGAGAGAUGUGUUGGCAUUAAGUUAUGAUGAUUUGCCUCCCUAUUUAAGACCAUGUUUUCUUUAUUUAAGCCACUUUCCAGAAGAUUAUGAGAUAUCUGCGGAUAGAUUGAUUCAGUUAUGGGUUGCCGAAGGUAUUGUUUCAUCAAAGCAAGAAGAAGGAGAUGAUGGGCAAAUAGCGGAAGAUGUGGCUGAAGGUUAUUUGCUGGAGCUUGCAGAAAGAUGUAUGAUUCAAGUACGAGAAAGAGACAUUGCAACCUUAAAGAUAAGAAGUUUUCAGAUGCAUGAUCUAAUGAGAGAUGUUUGCUUGUCCAAGGCAAAACAACAAAAAUUCCUCUAUAUCGCAGAUCAGUCAAAUGAGUGCCAGUUAUCCACUAUUGGGAGGGUUCGCAGAGUUUCUGCUCACAAAUUUAUUCCCUUACAGUGCAUUAAAAGUCCACGUCUUCGAUCACUUUUGCUUUUCGAUGAGCUUUUACCGAACGAAGAACAGGAAAAUAUUUUGCCAUUGACAAUGCGAAGCUACUUCGAGAACCACGAAUAUGAUCCUGACAAUCCACUUUUUUGCUUUGUGGCACUUUUAAUGCUUAGCGUGUUAGUUACUAAAUUUAGGGGAAUUUGGAAAUAUAUGUUCAAUAAUUUUAAUUUUCUUAGAGUCUUAGAUUACGAAAGAGGAGAUGCAGGGUGCAAGUUACCCAAUGACAUUGGUAAACUCAUCCAUUUAAGAUUCUUGAGAUUAAGGGGUCUGUACUUCUUGAGUUCAAAGUUGCCAUCAUCUCUAGGCAACUUAAGGUGCUUGCAAACAUUGGAUUUAAGAAUCAAAAGCGAAUGUUCAAACUCUAUUCAUGUACCUAACGUGUUAUGGAGGAUGCAGCAACUAAGGCAUCUAUAUCUCCCCAAGCGAUGUAGUCCUAAAACAAAAUUGAAGUUGGGUACAUUGAGAAGCCUCCAAACACUUGUCAACUUCAACACCAAGAGUUGUUAUAUAAAGGAUCUUAUCAGCAUGACAAAUAUUAGAGAGUUGGAAAUUCGAGGGCCCUUCAAUAUUGAAGACUUUAACACGGAGGAGUUGGGCAAGAAUCCACUCAUCGUCCAAAGUAAAUAUCUUCAUUCCUUGUCUAUCAUCAAUUAUGAAGAAGGAAUAGAUACAAGACAUUUGGCACACCUCCUUUCAAGUUGUGAUAGCAUUUCUAAGUUGAGCUUAGAUGCGGAGAUAAGAAGGUUACCAGAGUACCACUACUUGUCUUCAAAUCUCGCUUACAUAAAGUUGAGAAGGUGUAUGCUUGAGGAAGAUCCAAUGCCAACACUUGCGAAACUGCCUUACUUAAGUAUGCUUGAAUUACAUGAAGAGGCUUUCAUAGGAAAGGAAAUGUUUUGCUGUGGACAAGCUUUUGCUAAACUUGAGUCUCUAAGCCUUAAGGAGCUGGACUUUCUGGAGGAGUGGAAAGUGAGUGAAGGAGCCAUGCCUUGUCUUCGGCGAUUGGAGAUAGAGAACUGCAGACAACUAAAAAAGCUUCCAGAUGGACUGAGGUUCAUUGCAACCCUUCAAGAACUGAAGAUUGAAUCAAUGCCAAAGACAUUCAAAGAUAAAGUGGAGGAAGGGGAAGAUUUCUGCAAAGUCCAACAUGUUCCUUCUAUCAUAUUCCAAAAUUGCGAGGGGUAGUAAUCAUGAUUAAUGCCAGGCAAUUCAUAAUCUUUGCUUUAGGAAAUACUUAACCCAUUUGUUUAUACAUAAAAAUCCACAACUAUUUUGCAUGUUUAUACAUCAUAUUGACAUUUUUUAAUAUUUCCUCUUCAGGUAUUGAAGCCAUUGCCAUUUUUUUUAUUCUGUUGCUGCUCUUCAUGGGACCAAAUAUAUGUAAAAAAGUUGUAACAGUACUGUGUGAAAUUGUGUACGUGGAGUGAAAUUUUUUGUAUUGUAAAAUUAGAGAUUGGGGGCUUUUUUUUUUUUUUGUUAUAAAUUUCAAAAUUGUAAGGUGCAAAAUUAUGAAAAGCUUUUUAGGUAACUUCUAUUAUACUGUACAUCCCUUGCUUAAAAAUUUUAAAAUUUUAAUAUGAUAAUAAUAUCAUAGUGUGAUGCAAUAAUUCAAUUUUUAAGUAAAUGAAUUUAAAGGUAACAAUAAUUAAAAAAAGCAUGGUAAGUAUGUGAUUGAAUUAGUGCCUUUAAUCAACUCGAUAUCAAUUCAGUUAAUGAAUUUUUAAAAAUAACCUUACAUAUUUUAAAUAAGUUACGGGUGAUGCGUAUUCGGUAAAUGUACUUUCAUAAAAUAUCCAAUGUGAUACCUAUACUUUGAAAAUGUUCAAUGUGGUCCUAAAUUAUUAAUGCGUUUUGUUAUGGUACCUAAUGUUAACUGUGCUACUGAAUUGCUAAACUAGCAAAUGAAAAUUCGACACGUAAAGUUAUUUUAAAAUCUAUGUGGAUAAUAUAAUGUCAUGUGAAAAGCUAAAUAAAUAAAAGAAUAAAUUAAAUUAAAAGCAAAUAACUAAGGAUAUAUGGUUUAUAAAAAGAAAUAAAUACUAAACUUACAUAAGCGAAAUAUCAUUUUUGCCAAAGAGUUUUCCAUUUGAAAUAAUAUUUUUAAUUAAUUUUUAACUAAUAUUUUUUAUAGGCAUGAUGGCUUAGCCCUCCAACUUUAUAGAAAAAGUCAUUUUAGCCAUCCAUUUAAUUUUUUUAACCUUUCUUAUCCCUUAAACUUGCGUUGUUUGUCAAAUCAUCCAAAAUAGAUAGAAAAUUUAAUGUUUGUUAACUUCGUUGAUGUGGCAUACACAUGGAUUGACACGUGAAUUUUACGUAAGCAAAUAAUUAAUUUUUAAUAUUUUUAAAAAUUAAAAAUUAUUGAAAUUAAUAAAAAUAUAAAAAUAUUUUUAGAAAAAUAAUAAUUAGUUGCAAAUGUAGCAUAUAUGUGAUACUCCAUAUGUAUUCCAUGUCAACAAGGUUAACAAACAUUAAUUUUUCCAUCCACUUUGGGGUGAUUUGACAAACAAUAACUUUCCAUCUAGAAAAGAAUAACUUCAAAAUCAUUUCUUCCUAAGCACCCAAGCACCGAAAUAUAAAAUCAAACAAUAAAUCGUGAAAUGGAUGUGAGAAAACGGGGUGACCUUGGAAGGAUCAACUUUGGGGAAGCUUUUGACAACGUCGAGGACUCUGUCAAUUACUUCUUCUUUAGUAAGGUGAUCGUCGUGCGAUGAGAAUAGCAGGAGGAGACUCCAGUGCGACGGAGCUCUUGAAGCAGUUGGCGUUAGGGUUUGAACAGGCAAUCGAAUGUGGCGAAGUACAGUGUCUCUUAAACGGCUUCUGUUUGAUGUUGGGAGGGAGCGGGUGAAGGUUGCUUUUGGGUUGGGAGGUAAAACAGGGUAGUAAUAGCUAAUCGGUGCUUUUGGAAGGGAAUGGAAAUCUCCCAAAAAGCAGAUGAUUUUGGGAAUACACCCGUAAUGUAAUAAGCCUGUAAUAGAGCAUUACACCCAACCAAACAUAUGAUUAAGUGAGGCCCACGGAAUAUGGGUGUAAUGGCUAUGCUAUUACACCCAACCAAACAUGCUGUAAGUUUAAGGACUGAAAGAGACCAAAAAGAGUUAAAUUGAAGCCUAAAAUAACCUUUUUUUGUAAAGUUGAAGAGUCAAAAAAGUUAUUAUACAUUUUUAUUAUCCACGUAAGUACUGGUUCGUUCUUGGAAAUUUAAUAUUUACUUCUUUUUUAUUAACCAUAUGUUUAGUUAUUUGUUUUUAAAUAAAAACAAACUAAAAAAUUCUAAAAAAAUUCUAAGUUUUUUUAAAAGUUUUCUAAAAAAAGAAUUAAAAAACUUAAUAGCUUGGAAAAAUUUAGAAGAAAGACACUAGAAUAUAAAUAAAACAAUUAGGUUUUAAAUAAUUAUUUUUUAAAAUUUUUAUUUGCAUAAAAUCUUCUAUUUUUUAAUUUUUUAAUUAUUUUUAAUUGUUUUGCUAACGUAACAUAUAAGAUAAAAUAAGGACACAUCCACAAUUAUGCAAUGUAGAGUGGCAUGUCAACACAUGCCAUUGACUAUUAGUCAACUAAUGGACACAUUAUCAAUUCUGUCAGAAAAUGAUCAAUUAGAUAAAAAAAAAAAACAAAACCAUGAGGAUUAAAGUGCUCAAAGAAAAAAGAAUAAGGGCUAAUGACUAACUAGGAAAAUAUUAGGGACUAUUUUUAGCAUUAUACCUUUUAAAUUCAUGGAGGAAAAAUUUUGCUGUAAUUUUAAAUUUUUAUCAAAAUUAUGCAAUCAUAUUUGGUUCUUGAUGGUACUACGUUUUUAGUUUUGGAUCUAUAAUUUGAUUGGUUCUUUUCCAUCUUCUUCUGUCUUUUUAAUUCAAGCGAUUUGAUUUUGUUUUCCAGAGUAUUUGAUCCAUAAAAGUAUCACAUGUACUAUAUUUUGAAUUAUAUUUUAGUUUUUCUAUGAAAAAAACGGAUGAGUUGACCCCUAUAUCUUACAUGAGUUAAAAAAAUAGUCCUUCCGUUAAAAUUUGUUUUUAUAUAUAAGAUAUAAUAAUAAAUUUAACCCCUAACUUUUAUACAUUUGUUCAAUUUGACCCCUAUUCUUUUAUUGGAAGUAAAUUAAAAAACUCUGAAACUAAUAAGACUAAAAAGUUAAAAUGGCUUUAGUAGCAAAUUAAAAAAAAAUCAAUUAAGCCAUUUUAAAAUUUAAAAAUUAUUUAAAAAUUCAUAAAAAUUAUAAAUAUAGUGUUAUAAAAGUUUUAAAAUUAUAAAAUGUUUAUUAAAAAUAAGAAUGCCAAUCCAUUAAAUCUAAUAGUUAUAAGAUUUUUCAAAAAUGACCCCUACUCUUUUAUUGAGCCAGUAUUGUUGUUUAUUAAAAAAUAAUAAAAUUAUAUAUUUUUAAUAAUUUUUAAAUUUUAAAAGGUUUAAUUCAUUUUUAAAAUUUUUUACUAAGGCCUUUUGACCCUUUAGUUUUAUUAGUUUCAAAAUUUUCUAAUUUACUUCUAAUAAAAGAGUAGGGUCAAAUUGAAUAAAUUUGUAAAUGUUAAGAGCUAAAUUUUCUAUUAUACCUUAUAUAUACACUCCAAAAUUUAGCGAAAGAUCUCACCUAGGGAAGCUAAUACCUUAUAUAUAGUUGAGAAAAUUUGGUGAUACUUUUAAGAUAAAACAAAAAAUUUCAGCUAAUAGAAACGUGUUUUUUCCCCUAAGACCUAAAAGUUUACCUAGUUCCGAAGCUUCUAUAGCCUCUUCAAAAUUACAUUCUUACCAUUCUUGAAAUCAGAAACCAAAAGCGAUUCAAUGACAAAUUUCUUUAACGAUGUAGUACAAGUCAAUAAUCUAGAAUGUCCCUUUCUUUUCCAUUGCCCAUCUUCUUCUUUUUUCCUCCUUAAGCUCACAAUUUCGUCAUCAUCGAAAUCAUAGAUGCUUCUUACUUUCCUGUUAUUGCGCAUGAUUCGCUCCAAAUUUUCAGAAUCGCUUUUGAUACAUAUUCCCAGUGAAACAAUGCAGUUCGUCCCAUCCUUAUAAGUUCUCACUUCUUCAACCAUCACGUAAUAUGUCUCAUUGGCCUCCUUAGGAUCAUAGCCAUAUCCUUUUCCAGCCCAAAAUCAAAUUAUUACCUAAUUAAUUGAGGGAGGUUCGGCUUUUUCUGAAACAAAAUUUGAAGUGUCAUUCGCUUAGCAAUCAAUUUGGAGCCCCAACAAACGAUGCUAUCGUCUCCUGAAGAAGUCUUCGAAGUGGUUGCUCUAAGGGUCUAGUUCACAGAACCCAAGUGGUGCCAUACCCCAACAAGUGACCUAUACUCACAUCACUCCUCUAUCUCCGUCUUCCUCUCAUUUUCUUAACCAUGACAUUUUGAUGUAUUGUUUGGAUGUGUUUUGCCUUAUGCUGAUCUAUUUUGUUGUGUUCCUGUGAUGUUUUUUUUUUUUUUGCUUCAUUCAAUCUAUUCUGCUAUAAAAAACAAACAGAACAAUGUUUAAAAUUUUGACAUUACAGCAUUCUAAAAGAAACACAUUCAAUCACUAACAGACGUACGUUUACAUCAAAGCAAUAGCUCACCACCAAGCUUUAAACAUUUCCUCACGAUUUAUACAUGCAAUCGCCAAGGAAGAUGCCGUUUCGUUUUCAUUCUUUUCUGCCAUCGAAAAAUCAACAUUUCCUACCUUUUUAAUGUCUCUUUUAAUAUCUGUGAAAGUUGCUUGAAGAGACCAUGGUCUAUACGACUUAUUUUCACACCAAUAAAACACCACUUUUGAACCAAGUUUUAUAAAUAGAGAAUCAUUUAGCUUCCAUUUCAUAGCUAAAAAUACUUCCAAUGAUACCACCACCGCACCAAUCUCUACCAAAUCAGUAUCAUAUGCUGCUACAGAACCUGAAUAAAGCUCUUAUGACUCUCUCCUUAUCUCUCAAGACACCUACUCUAUCCUCGUUUGCAAUUCCACAAGCAUUAAACUUUAAACAACCAUGCAGAGGAGGACGCCAUAAUGAUGCAGUUGAUUUGGAUUUAAUUGAAUCAAUCCUGCACCUAUUUGGACAUAUCCACCAAAAGUUCUCCUGCAAUGUUAGUUCAUCAUAAACAGAUCUAAUCCACAGCAGUGCCCUCAUCUUUGAUUACAAAACCAAAUUUUCCAAAGUUAUCAUCCUUCUUUCAAAGACCAUACAAUUUCUCGUUAACCAUACUGUCCAUCAGGCUGCCCAAAUUGAUAUCUACCAAAAACUUUUCCUAAUUUCAUCCAUUUUCAUGUUAAUGAGUAGAAAUCCUCAAAACCAUUUACCUGUUUCCAACUAACCUCCCACCAAUUGAAUAUUUUAACCCAAAACCUUCAAUAAAUUUAUAUUUGAAGAACAAAUGUUUGCACUCUCCGGAACUCUUUCGCACCAUGGAUAGCUAAUCGAGAUUUUUUGAAGAUUCACCCCUCUUUUGACCAGAAAUUCCCUUGUAGGAAUUCUGUCAGUAGUAAGCAUCCAUAGAAAACUUCGCACUCUUGGUGGUACCUUAAGUUUCCAUAUUUUAUCAAAAGCAAAAUUUGUAUCCUCCCUUCCAUCCAUUAUCAAUAAUUCAGAGCAUUUUCUUACCGAAAAUUCCCCGUUUCUAUCAUGUGCCCAACAAAACUUAUCCUCCACAUCUGAAACUAACACCGUGCUACUCACCCUCUCCACCAAUUUGCUAAGCAUUACCUCCUCUCUUCCUAAUAACGUUCUUGUAAAGAGUUCGUUCCAUUCUUCUCUACUAAACCCAUAGUUUCUCAUAAAACCAGCAUUUGUUCCUUCCUUUUGUCUUGUAAGGCGAAAUAGCCUUGGAAAUUCAUGUUUAAAUGGAAGAUUACCACACCAUAUGUCCAUCCAAAACAUCGCGGUCCUACCAUUCCCAAUCCUCCAGCAAAAAGAAUCUAUCCCCACCCAAAUCCAUUCCCAAUCCUGUGAUGUUAAUACUUGGAUUCUAAGAUUUUAAGCACAACGUAAAUAUUGUGACUAGGAAUUUGAGUAAUGAAUCCAUACAACAAAUGGCACAGCCAAAAAAUGAAAGACUAGCCCCAACAUAAAACUCUGGUUGCUUCGAUGGUCAAUCCAUCUAGCAAUAGCCAAGCACACAAUAAUUAAGUUUUUAAUUUAGCCUUGAUUCUAGAAAAUAAUAUAUAUAAAUUUAAAAAUAUUAAAAUGAUAUAUAAAAACUCUAAAAUUUUAUAAAAUUAUAUUCUAUGAUUGUCAAGACCACCAAAAAUAAAUUCCUACUCAAAAAGUAAUUUUGCAAAUAGUAGUGAGUAAGGUCGAAUUCACUUAUACUAGUGAUUCUAUUUCAUAAAAAUAAACAAAUUAAAGAUGAUGAGGAUUUUUAUAAAACUAAAAUUAAAACUAUAACUAAAGAAAAAUAAAAUUCAAACUUAAUAGAAAAACAAUAAUCAAAAGUUGAGAGAAAAUCAAAAGGUGAAACUUUGACUAAAGGUAAAAUCACAGUUCGAUUCAUAAGUUUGAUCAUUAAGAAAAGAUGAUUUUCAAUGUGCAUUAAUAAAUUGAUUAUAAUUCUUGAUGAUCAUCUAGUAGCUAAUCUCUUCUUACCUUCUCGAUAAAUAAGACAAACGCUAUUAAUUAAUUCCCUUAUUGAUAAACAAUCAUAUAAUGACCACUUUAAAUUUAAUCUAUCAAUAACAUUAAGAAUGAAAGAGACUCAAUUCUAACCAACAAAUUUAAAUGUACAAUUAGAAUUUAUUUAAAUUGGACCGUAUGCCCACACAAUAUAGAAUGCAGAUCUUUGUCAUACCCACCUAAGUUGCUUAUCACUAGUAUACAAUUACUGAUUUGACACUUCUAACUGACAAGACAAAUAUUCUAAUCAAUUGAAUAUAGGUCAUAUAUUCAACAAACCUAAAUAUUUACAAUUAAAUAAGAAGAUAUAGGAAUACUAAACAACAAACAAAGAUGAAGAACAUUUAGAUGCGACAAAAUCUUCAAGUCAAACUCCGAAUUUCCUUCAACUAGAAAAAAAUUUAGCAAUUCAUUGAGAAAAUAGAACACAAAAAUAAAAAUAAUGCUAAGGGAUGACUAUGUCUAGGUAUAUCCCUAUAUAACUUAAUGAAAAAAUCACAUAAUGAAAAAAAUACAAAAGUGUCAUUAAUUAAAGAAUAUUUCUAGGUUUCUUGGUAAUUUUCAUGUCAAAAUUUCAAGCAAAUUUCGGACACAUUCUCAAUAUUUUUUGUGCUCGAGUUGUGAAAUAACUUUUGUUAGAUAUUUUGAUUCCUUUCGAAUCGGUUUAUUAUGAGACAAAAUAAAAUUUUGUAGCUCAAGUUAUGACAAAAAAUAAAUACUAAAACUAGUAAAAAAAAUAAACUAAACUCUUUUUCUUCAAUUAUUCCCUAAAUCUAUAAUAAAUAAAAUAUAAUUCUUAAUAAUAUAAUUAAUUAUUUAAAUAAAAUAGUUCAAUAAAAUAAAUAUAAAAAAUAAUUAGAAAAUUACAUACUUAUCAAAUUUCCCUACACUUCAACUAUGCUCGUCCUCAAGCUUGAAACUAAUGAAAAUGCAUAUACAUAUACAACCUAAAGAAAUACUUACUCAAAUCAACAAUUAAAAAUAUCGUUAUAUUUCAAUGAAACAAGAAAAUAUGCUUUUAUAAAUACAAUCGACAUCCAAAUUUUAUAUGAUAAUAAAAAUUAUAAGAGUAACAGUAAUUUAUACAAUAACCCAAGUGACAGUUAAAAUAACAUUAGGAUCAAGCAUGCAUGGAGUUUCUACAAUGUAAAAUAUGCUGCCAAAACACAAAUCCAACCAAAGAAAAAGACAUGAAUAUGUUAACUGCAAACAAAAUACUAAUAAUAUUAAACAAGCAAAAUAUAAUAUGAAAAAAGUGACUAAACACCAAAAUUAGAUUAUAUCACAUUUUUUAAAUUAAACUAUUUGCUCACUUCAAAUAUGUUAUAAGUUUUUGUAUCAUUUAUGCAUAUGAACUUUAAUUUAAUUUUUUAUAUUUUAAAAUAUAAAUUUAAUUGCUAUUAUUGUUAAAUUCACUAGUACGACACUUUCAAUUUCUUUUUAAAGAAAAAUUCACUUAGAAGUCGUGUAACAAAAAAAAUGACAUUAUAAUGAACUUGAACUUAAUAGAAGAAUUUUAAUGAUAUUGAUAAUUGGACCUCUAUUUUUAAAUCCUAAAGUUAGAGAGGUUAAAUUUUUUAAAAUAAAAAAAGAACGAUUAAUUUCUAAAUGUUCGAAGAGUAAUGGACUUGGAACAUAUUUUAACCUAUUUAUUCACGUGGCUAAUCUAAAAUGCUUCCAAUGCAUGUAAUAUAAGCCACAUGAGCAAACUUUUUUAUUUUAAAAAUGUCACAUGAUCUAAUUUAAUUGAAGUCCUUUGAGAAUGUUAUCAAUCAGACUUCAAUUAUUAAAUCAAAAUAAUAGGGUGAGUAAAUUCUAGAGAUUAAAAAGAAAAGGACUAAAUGAAACGUACAAGGAUCGGAAGCAAAUUAGACCAAUUACCCAAAUUCCUUUUUAUAUGAUCUAAGAUAGCCUUCUCCAGAUUCGGCUGGCCACUUGGCUUGUAAGACCCGUUGUCAGUUACCGCUCUCCUUAGAUCCCUCUCUCUUCUUUAUUCUUCCUUUUUUCUUAAUUUUAGUUUGAAUUUUCGUCAGCUUCGUCCGUCUCUGGGAUCCUACAUAUUUUAUUCAUAAUCGAUUUGAAUAUCCACACUCAAUUCUCAUUCCGAGUUUCUUUCGUUAGGUCAUUCUAAUUAUCCGAGUGAGAAAAACAGAUUAGAGGCCGCAGUCAAUUGUCUGUUUCGAUUCUAAAUCUGUAGGGAAGUGUGAGAUGGAGGGGUCACCUCCACCAUGAAUGCAGAGAGACGAUGGAUAUAGAAGAAUAUACAAAAAUUCAAGCCUUCUUCGGUCAUGUCUUUUUUAUCCUGCGUCGCUUACCACUAUACUGGCAGGUUCCUUCUUUUUAUUCUCAAUAUUCAAUUCCAUGCCAUCUGUUUCCUCGAAUUUAGGAUUGUAUUUUAAUUAAUAGGAAUUUAUCAUAUUAAACGUAUGGUAACGGAAAGAAAGAGAAAACUUAACUUUCCCAUUUUCUUCUUCAACAUUUGGCUAUAGGCAAAACAAAAGAAAAGUUUAGGUUUUCCUUGCAAAUUAUCACCAUAACCGUGAGCUUGCCAAAGGUUCUAAGUAAGUUUUCUUUCUUAAUUUUUAUUACAUUAUGCUUUAAGGAUGUUGAAUUUAAUUAGCCCAUUUACUAGAUUUGAGAAUUCUUAAGAUAUUGAUUGAGUCACCAUGGUUGGAAGUUUUAAGGAAAUCUUGAAUGUUAUAAUUUUAAAGUCAUAUACGAGUAAGGCUAAUUAAUUCAUGAUACUAGUGUGUUAGAAAUGUAUUGGGUAGGAGUAAAUCAAGCUUAAAUUGUUUGAUAAAAUAUAUAUUAUUGAGGACCUAGUUGUAAAAGAUAAAAAUUUUGAGGUUUGAAAAUGAAUAAUGGUUAUGAGUGGUCCCUAUGUUAUAUUUAUAAUUAGAUUUAAAUUCGAUCGAGUAAAUUGUGAGAUAUGAGUUUUUUGAAUAUUAGGAGUUUGAGGGAUCAAAUUCUAAUAAAUGCAUUCAUGUUUAGAUUGUUGUAAUCUAUGUUGGAAUUGUGUGAUUAACACAUUAUUCGUAUUCAAAAUUUAAUUAGUCACUAAAGAGGGUAUGAGACCAUCCCUCAACAAAGAGAAAUUUACAGCCGUCGACGAAUAAUCAUUUUUGGUUUGUGCUUCUAUAAUUCACUUUUAAUAACUGGUGUUGACACCAUUUUUUUGGGAAAACAGGGUCCACUUGGAGUUUGAAAAUGAAAACAAAAAUGGGAGUCGCCACCAAUCCUUUUUGAUAAGGUGUGAUCGGGUCACCUUAGAAAAUGGUUGUUUUUAAUAAACGGUUUAGAUUUAUUAAAACAAUGCUUUUGAUCUACGAAAUUUAGAAAAAAAGGUUCGGAAGUCGGUUACGUACGAGGAAGGAUUAGCACCCUCGUAAUGUCCAAAAGUUGGUACCUAGUUGAUUAAUUAGUGUCUUAGUGUCGAAGAUAGAAAACUUUGAAGAGUUUUAAAAAUAUGAUCCUAAAAAAACUCGAAUAACAUGGAUUGAAAUUUAAUAUUCUUUUGUUCCGAAGGAAUAUCACAUCCAGCACGUUAGGACACGAUACAUUAAACCAUCAAAACCAAGAUCACCUUAUGGUUUCAAAAACCCAUACUUUGAAGUUUUAAGAGGAUAUUUGGCUAUUUGGUCAAACGAGAAAUCGAAACCCAGCACGUUAGGGCACAAUUUCUCGAAUUUCCAAAUGCAAAAUAUUGCCUUUAUUAUUUUUUAGAAAAGAACCUCAUCUUGAGAAAACAACAUGUCAUAUCCAAUUCGUUAGGACACAACAUAUCGAAUUCUCGAGAUAAACUUUAAUUUUGGAAUUUCUACGUUUAAAUUGAAAAGGGGUAUUCAAUUACUUAAAUUCAACAAGGAGAAUUGAAGCCCAGUAAGUUAGGACGCAAUCCUCUUGAGAAUCUUGGGUACCGAGUAGUUGAAAACUUAUGGAUAAAACGAUUUCAAUAUUUUCCUAAACGGAUGUAACGCGAUUGAAUUGUAACGUAUUACGCAAAAGUAUAAUUUGAAAAUAAAACACACAUUAACGAAUCAUGAAUAAUAAAUAAACACAAACCAACAUAGCGAUAAUAAUCUCAAUCAUACAUGUCAAAUAUCGAUGUCAAGAUUUGAAAUAAAAACAAGCUAAUCAAUACAAGCACAAACCAAGUGUAUAAAUUUUGAAAUGACUAGAAAAAUAAAUGGUAUGAAAGGAAUGGAAAUUGUGAAUCAAUAAAGCAUAUACGUAGAAAUUUUAAUAUAAGUAACAUACAAAAAAAUUUGAAAUGGAUUAAAAUGGAGUUUAACAUAAAAUAAAUACUAUGCGAAGUAAAUUUUAGAGUAAAUGUUCAAAAUAUUAAUAUAUACAUGUAUUAAAACUAAAAAAAAGUAAUACGUAUGGGGUGGAUAUAAUAUAUAGUACUAUACGUAAAAGUUGGAGUUAGUGAACUAUAUUAAAAUAAGAUUUUUUUAGAACUAGAUAUUUAUAGAUAAAAAAAAGAAAGAUGUAAGCAAAUAUAUAUACAACUAUAGUAAAGAAAGGAUUGAAAAUUAAUAUGUAAUUUGAUAAAAACUAUGUAUCAUAAAAUAAAGCCAUUUUAAAGAAAUAAAUCCCAUUGGAUUGAUAUAACAAUAUGAAAUAAUGAUAAUGAUAUAAAACGUUAAAAAAUAUAAAUACAUAAUAAUAAAAGAGUAAAUAAAUAUAAAUAAGUGUAAUAACAAUGCCAAUAAUAAUAAUGAAAGUAACAGUACUAAUAAAAAUAAUAAAAAUAAUGUUAAACUGUUAAUUUUACAAGAAAAAAAAAGAAAGAUAAAAUAACACAGAUAACAGAGAAGAACUAAAUCACACUCGAAAAUAAAAGUUUGAGGCAAAUCUGGAAAUAAAUGAAAGAAGGGAUCGCGCUGAACACGCGAACAACUGGGAAAGACCAAAAUAGGAAAUAAUCCCAGCCUUCCAGAACGCUGCGUUUUGCAUGCACCAGAUUGGAACAAAAAUAAAAUGCGUGGCCAUAUUUAAAGGGAACAAAAAGAUCGAUUCGAACUCAAUAUGGAGUACAGGGGACCAUUUUCGCAAAUAUCCCCUGGCAGGUCGAGUCGCGCACACGGAUAUGAGGAGCUAAACGACGUUGUUUUAGGGCUAUUGUAUCCAGCCCUAAACGAUGCCGUUUAGUCGACCUUUAAAAGUCUUUUUUUUUUUGAAAUUUCAUUCCUCUCCCCUUUUUUUUUUUAAAAACAUUGUCUCUCUCUCAAACCCUCUUUCCCCUUUUCCCAACUGCCCCCACAUCCGGCUAUGGCCAUCGCCGUCGAAUGGCUGCACCGCCGCCAUGGCCAAUGGCCGGCAACGGAAGAGAUGGGUUUUUAGCCCUUCUUCAAUGGCCUUCUUAGUCCAAGAGAGAGAGAACCGAAAGAGGGGACUCCUCACCCCGUCCUUUAGGGUUGACUUCGAGGACAGAGAGAAGACCCCCGACGACGUAGCCGAGAGGUGUUUCGGGUAAGUUUUUUUCACUUUUUUUUUUAUUUUCAUAGAUAAAACAUAAAACAAUACCCUAGAUCUAAAAUGCAAAAAUGAAAAAAAACUUAAAAAAGAUUCAAAUCUUUCCUUUUUUUUUGUAUUCAUUUCCAGAAAAUCGAAGAAGUUACAAUGGUUUCGUUUUCAGCCUUUAUAGGGCCGUUUAUCAUUAUUCUUUUUUUGUCUUUUUCAUUUGUUUUUUUUUUUUGCUUUUGUUUGUUUAUUUUUUCCUGCCAUUUUCUUUGUUGUUGUCUUCUUCUUGCGUAUUGCAAAUGGUAGUAGACACGUGGGUAGCAGCGAUAGGCGAGCGGCGGCGGUGGCCAGGGGACGUGCGAGGAGGCUGACGGCUAUGGGCAGACCUAGACCUAUCCAUGGGUCAGGUGGCCCGGCCCGGCCCGACGGCCCGCCCGAAAUAUGGGAGGGUUUGGGUAAAAAUAUAGGCCCAAAAUAUGGGCUUGGGCAAAAAAAUGAGGCCCGUUUAGAAAAUGGGCCGGGCCUCGAGAACAACUUUUUUGGCCCGGGCCUGGCUUGGUCCGGCCCAAAUAUAAUAAAUAUAUAUUUUUAUUUUAUUUUUAAUUUUUAAUUUUAAAAUAUUUUAAAUACUUUAUUUUAUUUUAUUUUAUUUUAUUUUUAAAAUAAUUUUUUGAUGUUUAUUUAAAAAAUGGGUCGGGCCGGGCUCGGGCUUAGGAUUUUUUCCCGGGCCGGGCCUGGACAAAAUUUCAAGCCCAUAUUUCGGGUCGGGCUGGGCCCGGGCCUAGGAGUCGGGCCGAAAUUUUUUUCUGGGCCCGGCCGGGUUGGCCCAUGGACACCUCUAGGCAGACCUAGGUGCGGCGCACCUAGGGUUUCCUUUGGCUGAAAAAUUUUUAGUUUUGGGCUAGGGUUUUUUAAUUUUUGGGCCUGCUGGGUUAGAUUUAAUUUGGGCUGGCAUUUUGGGUUUGUAAAUGGACAUUUGUUUUAUUAUGGACUUUUAACUGGUUUUGUUUGGGUCAUAUUGGGCCCCGGGUUUUAAUUUAAUUUGGUUUUGGUUAUUUGGACCAUAUUGGGCCCCGGGCAAAAUGGGCUUGUACAACUGGUUCAUAGUUUAGUAAGUCAUUAUAAAUAAAUAUGAAAUAAAUGUGAGGUAAUUGUAUCUCUCUAAAACUAUGAGAAAAUGAAUUUGAUAUCCUGAUUGUCGAAUUCGAGUUAUGUGUGAUUGACUUGUUAUUUGUAUAAGCAUGUACACAUAUGUUUGAUAUAAAUGUGUAUAUAUAUAUAUACACACAUUAGUUUUAUUGAAAAGAUUGGGAAACACACGGAAAGUGUCCAUUAAGACAAAACAGACAAGGGCCACCUUAUAUAGUUACAGAACAACACGACAUACAAUAAAACACCCAGGUAGCACACUUAAAAAACAUGUACAGAAAAAGGCCCACCUACCACCAAGCAAUGAGGUUUUCUGUGCUCUGCCCAUAGCUUCUUUUUCAAAAAGAAAAAAUCGCUGAAGAGUUCACCUUUCUACCUUUUUGUAAAUCUUUGUUGUACUCGCUCGACGAUCCUAAUCAACCACCAUGGUUUUCCAGUCGCGAAUACGAUGUAUCCCAUAUUCAAUCCUAACACCAAUCCACAUCCAUACCCCAUCAAUAUAGAAAAUUUCCAAUUCAAUUCAUCAUCUGUAUCAAAUUUGACCAAAGUUCCCCUAUCAUUAUCACAUCUUUUUGAUAAUGGCAAGCCGCAUAAACCCAAGUUUUCUUUGUAAGAAUCAUUAGUGAAAGUAUCAAAUUGUUUGCCUUGAGGAAUGGGUCCCUUGAGAUUAUUUUGAGAAAGGUUUAGCACCUCUAAGAAUCCAAGAUUUGUUAACUCUGUUGGAAUUCUUCCUUGGAACUUGUUUGAUGAGAGAUCUAAUGAUUCAAGUUCAGACAGAUCACCUAAUGAUGAUGGAAUAGGACCUGUUAAGCAAUUAUGAGAGAGGUUUAGGACAAUAAGUGAAUGAAGCUCACCAAGUGUUUUGGGCAAUUCUCCGAAGAAUUGAUUGUCUGAAAAGUCAAUUACCAUCCAACUGGUUAACACUGAUUGAAACUCUGUUUCCGACCCUUUUACUGUAAAAGAUAAACCAUAAGCAUAAUUGAAAGCAAUAUAAUCUGAUACAUCUUCCAUGUACUCUGGUUCAAGUUUAUUUUCAUGCCCCAUUCUAAUGGACUGUAGAUUUUUAAAAAAAUUGGUAGGUAAGUAGCCACUGAAGUUAUUGUGAGAAAGAUCAAUGACGCGCAAACGAGGGAAGGGAACUGUAACAUCAGAGUUAUCCAUUUGGCCAAAGAAUUUAUUCGAUCUCAAGACAAGAACUUGUAGAUGAUCUAAAUUUCCUAACCAGUUCGGGAAAGUGUCAUUCAAAUUGCUGUUCCCAACAUCGAGAAGGUUCAAAUCUUUGCAAUUACCUAAAGAUCGUGGCAGUGACCCUCCUAUUUGGUUGUUGUUGAUGCGAAAACUUUGUAACGUGCAAUAUUUAGCAAAACUUUAUGGUAUUUUACCAUGAAAAUUAUUAUUCCCUAGAUCAAUGUGUGAAAGAGAAGAACUCAAGUUUCCAAUGCACUCGGGAAUUGUUCCGUUAAUACUGUUGUUCCAUAAAGUGAGAACUUCAAGGGAACUUGCAUUACAUAUUGAAGAAGGGAUGUCUCCAACCAAUUUAUUUCUUGAAACAAAGUAGCAAAGCAAUGAAGGUGGUGGAGUUGGAAGUCGUCCUGAAAGAAAAUUUGGACUAUAUUAAAAUUAAGAGUUUGAAGCUUGUCUGAAACAAGAAAGUAAAUAAACUACAUUUCUAGUGUAAUACAUGGAUGAAUCUAGUUAAUUGACAGUGUUUAUGAAAUUCCUAAUUGAAGAUUAAAAUUUAAGAUGAAAAAUAUAGAACAAAUAAGAUCCAUCAAUGCCAUUUUAAAUAUAAUUUUCUUAAGUUACAAAAAAGGAAAGUUCACUUUCCAACAUAAGAUCCAUCAAUACCGUUUUUGUUAGGGAAUCAACAAACAAUAUGUAUACAUAUUCACUUACAUAUUACCAAACCUUGGACAGAAAAUUUACCAACCAGAGAAAAUAAAAAAAAAUCGAUGCUGAAAAUUUUCGAGUUUUUGUUUUUUUAUGUACGUAAUAAUUUUUCGGUUGGAUCAGAUGUUUAAAUAUGUUGCUUAAAAUUCCAUUGACGAUAAAAAGCAAGAGAGAACAUCGUUUGGAGUAACCAUUAAAGAAACAUUAAUGUAUAGAGACAAAGUAAAUAACAGUGUGAUGAGAGGAGGUAAGUUUGUGAUUCAUUCCAUCAUUCUCCCAAAAUAAAAAUUUAUUGUUAGCCCCUUUUAAAAAAUAAAAAAAUUUGAAGUCAAUAUACCAGGAAAUUGCCUUUAGAUUGUAAAAUAUUUAUAAUUCAAUUAUGGCCCUUCCACAUAUAAAAUUUAUUGUUUAAUCCUUUUAGAUUUUGUAAUUUUAAGUUAAUAAAAUAGUAAAAUAAUCUUUGGAUCCAUUAAAAAUAUAUAAUUAAUUUCUUGCCUAUAGAAAUUGCAUUUUUUCCUUCUUCCCUGCGUUUAGUGAACAACUUCCACCUAAGACGCACAGGAAGGGAUUAUGGGUGAUCUUUUAAUACCAUGGUAAGGUCAUGGAUGCAUUCUUUCCUAGAAAAAGGAGCAAAGUGGGAAAGAGAUUUGGGUUUGUUAGAUGCGCAAACACAAUUGAUGUUGAGAAGGCCAUAAGCACAUAUUGAAUGAGUGUAAGGUGUUGGGAGACCUAAUUCAUGUUCAUAGUUCUACUCUGUAAACUAGAACCAAAUUCUAAAGGAAAGUGACAUUUAGGAAACCAAAGGACAAUCCAUAAGCAACACAAAAGGUCGCACAAUCCCAAAGUUUUAAUGAAAAGUGUAGUGUCUAUGACCAAAAGGGUUGAGCAGAAAAUCAGUAAAGAAACUAGUAAGAACUCAGUAAAGAAACUAGUAAGAACUCACAUGAUGAUUAACUCUCUCUCGCACACUCUUGAAUAUGAAAAAAUGCAUAUUUUCUUUGUGGACCUUUUGUUAGGAAAAAUCUUUAUAAAUCGUUGCUGGUGCAUUUGUCACAGAUCGCAGUUCAAAGCUUGUGACCAUCGUAUACAAUACAUCCCAUGGAGGUCUAUCAUUGACAUGGGGAUCAUUUGGCCCACAAGAAAUGGCUUGAUUUAAAGAGUUGUUAGAGAAGUCUGUCAGAUUGAAGCCUAGGUGGCCCAAUGAUGAAGAUAUGUCGACAUAGGCUACCUUGGCAAAUAGGGAAACCAAUCUUAGAAGAUUGAGGGGAACCAUGUCUUAUAAGAUUAGGUUUGAUUUGAUUAUGAAAAUUGAUUAUGCAAUCUUGUAAAUUAAUAGAUUUAAGGGAUAGGCUAAUCUUAUCCAUCGAUUUAACUUGAUCUAGACCAUUUAUUUUGGGGGAGCUCAACUAUAAAUAGAGAGCCUCCCCCUCACUUGUAACUCACUUCAUUCUUUCGUUAUUUCUUGUCUUGUUUGAGAAAAAGUAAUACAAUUGAGAGCAUUUACUCAAACACCUUUUAGGCAUAGUUUUCUUUGGCUUUAUGUUCUUUUGAGUCUUCUUUUAGCUAAGUUGCUUCCGCUAUAUGAAUUGGUGUCUUGGAUGAAUUCUUUGUAAAUUAAUUAUUUGGUGGUUAGGCUAACUUAGGCGUGUUUGUAUCAAAUGGAUUACCUAAGGCCACAUGGAAUGUGAGACUAAAGUUCUAGCCCUGUGAUAAGUGGUAUCAAAGCUUAGGUUACGAAGGCACCAUCGAGAUGUCAAAAGAAGUUGUUGAUCAGAAAUGGGCUAGAAAACUAGUCCUUUUGAAGGAUAUGUUAUUAGAAGUAGAAAAACGAAUGGAUAAACUCGAGAAGUUCAUAGAGGACGCGAAAGAGUCGCACGAUGUGCUUGGUGAGCACAUAGAUGACUUGAGGGAGUAGUCUAGGGACUUUGAGAUCAUGUCUCGCACUUUCAAUAGGGAAAGUGUGUAAGAGUUACUGAAUUCCCAUAGGAAGAAGCUGAUGGAGAGGAAUAAUGCGCUCUAGGCCAUGGUGAUGGCUUUGAAGAAAGACACAAUGGUCAUAAUAAAGGCUUUGAGCACAAGUAUAGAGGAGCUCGAGCAACCGUGGGGAAUAGAGUGUCGAGUGCAACAUUUAAUUGUGAGGAUGUCCAAAAGCUGAAAGAUUUUAUAGGGAUAAGGUCUGCAUACAAUGUAGACAAUUUCUUAUGGAGGAUGGAGCACUACUUCCAUGCCAAAGGCAUCAUGAAGGAUGCAAGUAAGGUAAAUACUACUUCCAUGUUUCUUACUGAUUUUACGCUUUUAUGGUGGUGAGGCAGGUCCAUAGGUAAAAGGCAUAGUGAGAUUGAGACAUGGGAAGAGUUCCAACAUGAGUUGAAAGGUAGUUUUAUCCAGAAUUUUUCAAGUAGGAAGCUCAAGCAAAGUUAUGAUGACUUACGCAAUAAGACACAGCGGAGGAGUAUGUUCGAGAGUUCAAGGAACUCAUGCUCCGAAUUUUAGAUGUGACUGAGAUAAAGGCGUUGCUUGCUUUCAAGAAUAGAUUAAAGCCAUGGGUCAGACAAGAAUUAACACGAUGAGGUGUCCAAGAGUUGUCAAAAGCCAUGAUGGUAGCGAAGUCCAUGGUCAAGCUUGAGUCUUUCAAGUCCAAGGAAAGGGGUGUAUGUGAAAGGAAUAACGAGUAAGAUAGUGGAAAUGGCAACUGCAAUUGUAGUGGUAAUGGGAAACCACGAGUUGGGGAGAAUAAACUAAAAAAAAGGCAAGUUGACAUGCUUUCUUUGUGAUGGUCCACAUUUGUUGAAGAAAUAUCCAAAGAAAUCCGUGCUUUCUAAUAAAGACAAGUCGAAAGGUAAGGCCGUGAGACUUGGUUCAAGCACAAGGGGUGUCAAACCCAAGGAGGCCGAAUGUGGGAAGAAGCCAAUGGAGUGCUUCUUGUGUCAUGGUCCUCAUAGGUUGCAGAAAUGUCUGAAGAAAUCUACCAUCGAAGAGGGUGAUGUAUCAAACAAGGAGCCCAAGAAGCUUGGUUCGAGCAAGGGAAAAGUCGAAGCCAAAAUGACAAAAAAGAGCAAGAAGAAGCUAGUAAACUGCUUCUUGUGUUGUGGUCCACAUAAGUUGCGAAACUAUCCAAAGCAAAUUGUGGUAAAAAAAAAAGACAAUAUCAAAGCUUGUUGAGUCAUCAGAGGGGCUUCCACCCAAUGAAGAGGUGAGUUUGUCAUUAAACUUAGAGGAAAAAAUGUCAAUAAAAAUAGUGAAGCUAGGACCAAUAAAACUUAAUUCAAGUAAAGUAACGGAGUUGACUGAGUUAUCGGUGAGGCUUCCACCCAUGGAAGAGGUGAGUUGUGCAUUAGACUCAAAUAAAGAAGUAGCAAUGCAAACUUUGAAGCUAGAAUCAAUGAGGCUUACUUCUGUUGACACAUCGGAGGAGCUACCACCUUUGGGUAAGGUGGGUUGUGCAUCAAACUUUGGAAAAGUGGUCCUACAAGUUGGACAGUUGACCCUAGUAAAUGCAAUGAGUAAGGUAUAUUCCGAACAUUUUGGUAGUGUUUUUCAUUCUAACUUGUUGACUUAGCAAAAAUGUAAGGGCCCUUUCAAAGUUCUUAAGCAAGGAAGCCGAGACACUGUGGGCAAUUCGAAGCCAAGUUGUAUGAAUCAAGAAUAUUCCAUUAAAAGUGAAUCAGAAUGUGGGCAAGAAAGAGUCGUGGCUUCUUUCCAUUGAGAUGUAUCAAUGAGUGGAACAACUCGAUAGUGAGACUAAUCGAGAAAAAGUUAAGGCGUCAAGACGAGAUCGAGGCGAAUCAAGUUAAUACCAUUCUAAAGGAGUAACGAGGUCAUUGUAAAAAUGAGAGAGGGAGAAUGUCAUGGGUCACAGUUCAAAGCCUGUGACCAUCGCACACAAUGCAUACCAUGGAGGUCUAUCAUUGACAUGGGGAUCAUUUAACCUACAAGAACUAGUUAGAUUCAAAGAGUUGUUAGAGAAGCCUGUCAGAUAGAAGUCUGGAUGGCCCAAUGAUGAAUAUAUGACAACAUAGGCUACCUUGGUAAAUAGGGAAAACAAUAUUGAGAGGAAUCAUAUCUUAUAAUAUUAGAUUGGAUUUGAUUAUGUAAUCUUGUAAAUCCUUAUAUUUAAGGGGUAGGCUAAUCUCGUCCGUCAAUUUAACUUGAUCUAGACCGUCAAUUUUGGGGGAGCUCAACUAUAAAUAGAGAGUUUCUCCUGACUUGUAUCUCACUUUAUUCUUUCAUUGUUUUUUGUAUUCUUUGAGAGAAAGUAAUAUAAUUGAGAGCAUUUACUAGCAUUUACUCAAACACCUUUCAUGCAUAGUUUUCUUUAGCUUUUUAUUCUUUUGAGCCUUCUUUUGGCUAAGUUGCUUCCGCUAUAUAAAUUGCUGUCUUGGAGGAAUUCUUUGUGAAUCCUCAAUUGUUUGGUGGUUAGGUUGGCUUAGGCGUGUUUGUAUCGAAAGGAUUGUCUAAGGCCGCAGGGAACACGAAACCAAAGUUCUAGCCUUAUGACACAUUGCUUAGGAUUUUGACGUAGUGUGUAAAAAAAGAAGAAUGGAAGUGUUGUGGAAGUAGAAAUAUGAAAAUGAAAAGGGCCAACAGCUUUAUUGAUAGGGAGAGCUUAUUGAUUUACCAUUUUCAAGCAUUGCUUUGUUGUGAAAUUUUAGCUAGCAAUGACUUCACAAAUCAAAGCUUACUAUUGAAUCUUGUUGGAACUCUAGUUGUCCUAUUGCUUAUGUUUCAACUCAUAUCCAAAUAGUUGGUUGCACUGCUUAGUUAUUCCCAUGUUCGAAUAGAUGUCCAGACAAACCUUUAGGUAACAAUUUGGACAUGUCUUUAGGACAACUCAAGUAGAGUUGGUUGUUGGCGCUUUGACUUUGACCUCUCAAAUUAUUUUCUCUAUAACUAAAUGAUCCUUGAAGCAUGUUUUAUCUCUUCCUAAAUGAUGUUGAUUGACAUGCCUUAUCUUGUAAAACUUAUCUUUAUCUUAUAAGUAAUUUACUUGGUGAUUAAGCUGUUGAUUUUACUUAGCUUAUAAGGUUUUAUAUUGAGAUAAAUAUUGGAGGUUAUUAUCCUGGAUAAUCAUGCAAUUAAAAUUAUAAUUCUAUUUUCACAAAACUACCAAGGGGAGUUUAUGAUAUUUCACAUAAAUAGGCAGCUUAUUCGCAUGGUUUGAUACAAAUUUUUAGAGGACUAAUUAUGUUGCUUUUGCUAGUAUCUUUGUUGUUGAUUUUUUCUUAUAUUUAACACUUAUUUCGUGGGUUUGUUGGAGAGUUUUAAAAUCACUAUAAGGGAGGUCAUUUGAGUGAAUGGUUGUAACAAGUUGGGAUUAUCUAUUGAGGCUGCAAAUGCUUCUUGUGUAAAUACAAGUUGGGAUUUAGUCAAUAGGCUACUUGAUUAAUUGUUGAACAUGCCAUUCACCAAACGAGGCUCUGUAGAGUAGGAUUAUCUUUUAACUGCAUUAAUAAAACUUGUAUGCUUAUGUCUUCCUUUACUAUCUUUGCUCAUUGCCUUUGUUCACUAUCUUGUUCAAACUCGUGUCUAGGCAUCAACUUGAACAAGAAGCAAAACUAUUGCUUUUUUAAUUGGUAUCAGAGUAGGCUUCAAGAUAUGUUUGAAAAUGAUCCUAUCACAUUUUGCUAUGAUGGAGGCCAUGAGAGUAGGAAAUUCAUAUCUCAAGAUUACUUGUUGGAUCCUCAAACUAUGCUUACUGUAAAACUUGAAUGAGGGAUUUAUGAUGUCCAUUUAUGAAGCUACACAAGAAGAUGUUGAGGAAGGAUGGACAAAACUUGAGGUAAUUGAUUCUUAUGGAACAACAAAGGCUAAGGAAAAGAAUCAAUAUACUGCUGAUAAGAGAAAGGCUGCCUAAGAAAACUCCAAAGCCUUGUAUACUGUUUUCAGCCGGGUUCACAUGGGGCAGUUUAAAAUGGUAUCAAAUUGUAAAUCAACAAAAGAAACUUGGACCAUCUUACAGAACCAAGGUGGAGGGAAUGCAACUUUUCGAAUGCCAAAUUGCAAAUCAUGAAUACCAUGCUAGAUUAGGUGACUAAUCUAAUGAGAUAUUUUAUCUUGGUGAGCAUUUUUUCGAGGUUAAACUGGUGAGAAAAUUUUUUUAGGUUACUUGCAAAAUAUUUUGUUAUCAAAGUCACAGUAAUAAAAGAAGCCAAGGAUAUCACCACUCUUAAAUUGAUGAGCCGUUAGGUUCUCUUAGAACCUUUGAGCUAAUUAAGCAAAGCAUGACAAGUUGAGCCUAAGAAGAACAUUGCCUUCAAUGUUCAACCUACUAUUCUGACAGGAAAGCAGACAGGGGAGGCCAUUCAGGGGUUUAGUCAAUGGGGGUUGGCAAGGCCUGACCCCCCUAAAAUGGAAAUUUUUUUAUUUAGGUCCUUUAAAAUUUUUUAAAUUUUAAAUUAAUAAAGGUAAAAUUACACUUUGGUCCCUUUAAAAGUGAUAAAAAAUUGAUUUAAUCCUUUAAAAGUUAUAAUGAUAUAGGUUAUUCAAAUAGUGAAAUUGUAUUUUUACUAUCGUAAAAAUUACAAUUUAAUUUUGACCCCCUAAAAAAGUUUCUUGCUUCACUCCUGAGGCCAUUGAUAAAAUCAAACAGCAAAUAACUUUGCUUUCCAAAAAUUUUAACAAGGUACUAAAAAGAAUUUCAAAAAGGAGACCUCGAGUAGAUUUGGGGUCCAGCAACACCAACAAAAAGUUUUGACUAAAAGAAUACAACACUUAGAAUAAGAAGAAAGAGGUUCACUCCUAUGAAUGUAAAGGUAUUGGCUAUAUUCAAUCAGAAUAUGCCAACACUAAGAAGAACAAGAAGUUCUUAGCAGUUACUUGGAGUAACGAAGAGGAUGAAAGUGAACUUUUAGACUCUCAUGAGGAGAUAAAUAACUAUGAGGCCUUCAAUGCUGCUCUUCAAAGUCCUAUAUAGACAGGCUAUGAAACAACUGAAGAACCUGAUUGUGACAUUAGAACACUUGAAGAUACAUAUUUCCAAAUGAUCAAAAAAUUAAAAAUUGUGUCAAAUAAAUGAUGACUUGAGAGAAAAAAUGAGCAAUUUGAAGGGAAAAAAAAAAAGGGAAGUUUGAGAGACUAGUGCAAGAGAAAGAUGAGGUUUUAAAGAAUACUGAGAAAGAGCUUCGCUAUUCUAAAGAGGUUUAAUGGGCAGAGUGAAAAGCUUGAUGAAAUCUUGACCACAAUGAGAUUCGACCUUGGUCAUAAGGGGCCUUGGUUAUCCUUUAGCAAGUAAGAAAGUUGAUUCACCUACUGUGUUUGUUAAAGCUACUGAUUCGAGCUUCAAGGUCAAAGUAUAAAACGUAUAAUUAAUUUUUUUUAAAGCCAAAAAUAUUAUAUUAAGUAACUAAAAUAUUGUAAAGCUAGUCAAUAAUAUAUAACAAAUAUGUAAUGCAACUGGAUGGGAUUGCAUAAUUGUAACAUAAAAAAGGAGAAGAAAAUUGAUAUUAUACCUGUUAAUUUAUUACCAGAAAAAAAUCCUCUCGAGAGAAGUCAUGUUUCGAAUAGCUAAUGGAAUUUCACCUGAAACAUGUAAUUAAAUUUAGCGUAGUGGUAAGAAUAAAUAUCUUUGUGUUUGCAUUUUGACAAGUGCAUAAUUUCUCAAUUAUUUACAAUAUUUUUCCAUUUCAACACAGUGCAAUUUCAGUAUUUUGGUUGUAACUUAAGUUAUAGACUUCUGUUUUGAACCCAUAAUAUAUCAAUUCGAAGGGAAUUGAAAGAUUUAACUAAAUGUUAUUUCAUAGAUGAAGCCCAAAAAUGUCAAGAAGACACCUAAAAAUGGUCUGGAAGUUUGAAGUGAAAAUUGCCAAGAAAUCUUGAAAAAUUCUACAUUAAUUAAUUAAUGGCACUUUUGUAUUUUAUCUAUUAUAUUUUUUUUUCCUAUAAAUAGAUGUUAUUAGGUUAAAAUAAGGCAGAGACCUAGUCAUUCUUAGUUUUUUCUUGUUUUCUUUAUUUUAUGGAUUUCUAAAUCUGUCUUUAUAGUCAAGGGUUUUAUCGAAGUUUGAUUUAAUAAAUCCGUGAGACUUAUUUGUGUUUUAAUUCUUCUUUGAUCUUUGGUAUUUAUCCAUCUUCUGUUUUAAUUACAAUUGCUCGAGUUUAUUAAGUAUGUGACCAAUAUUCGAUAGCUCAGAACAAUUGUCUACUCAAUUAAAAUAGUUAAACCUGUAAUUUUUUAAUUCAUUCUAAUACUAGUGACAAACUGCAUAACUCCUUUAUGUUAUACUUUGGGAUUAUAUGGUGUGAAUGUGUGAUCUAACUUAAAUGAACCCCGCUGAGUUGAGCUUGUUGGUUAGAAUUAGGUCUCUCUCAUUCUUAAUGCUACCGAUAAGUUAAAUCUUGGGCACUGAGUUACAAGGUUAUUUAUCGGUUGGGGAACUAAUUUCAAAUGAGUUGCUUCUUGAUUACCGAAUAGAUAAGGAGACAUUGGUUGAUCGGUACUGAGUCAGUAACUAGAACUAAUUAAUUAAAGGUAUUGGAGUUAUCCUUGCGUCAAUGAUCAAAUCUGUUAAUUUACCAACCAAGGAAAAAUAAGAAAAAUAUUUUUUAUUGAUGUUGAAAGAGAUCUCUAUAGUUUCGUGUAAUGAAAGAGCUAUAACCACAUGCUGAAUAAUAACCACGUGUACGUGUCACGGGGCUAGACCUUUCGUCUCGCAAACCGUGUGGCCUUAGGCAAUCCGUUUGCUCCAAACUCGCCUAAGUCAGCCUUAACUCAAAUGAGGAUUCCUUAAGAACUCCUCCAAGGCACCAAUUGAAGAGCGGAAGCGAUUUAAGUCAAAAGAAGCUAAGCCAAAGAACAAUAGAAAGCCACAGAAAAGAAUGCACACAAGGUGUUUGAGUAAAUGCUCUCAGAACUCUAUUACUCUUAAGAAUUCAGAAUACAAUGGAAUCAGUACAAAUGAGGGGGAGGCUCUCUAUUUAUAGUUGAGCUCCCCCAAAACCAACGGUCAAGAUACAAUUACAUCGACAGACGAGAUUAACUAUAUCCCUUUAUUUUAGGGAUUUACAAGAUAAGCCUUAUCAAAUCUAAUCUAAUCUUUACAAGAUAAGAUUCCCUCUAUCUUCUAAGAUUAGUUACCAUAUCAGCCUAAAUCUCUUCGUUAUCGGGCCAACCGGGCUUCAAUCUGACAGGCUCCUCCAAUUUCUCAUUGAAUCGGGCCAGUUCUCGUGGGCCAAAUGAUCCCCAUCUGAGCAAUAGACCUUCAUUGGAUGCAUUUGGUGCGAUGGUCACGGGCUUUGAACUGCGGCCCGUGACAUACGCAGGUUCAUUUUACGGUUUAUAUUCAAGGUUUAUGGCUGUCCCUCCCAACAAUGUUGUUUUCAAGGUUAGAACCUAAAUUCUCCCCUAGAAAAUACAAUGUGUCUUACCAUUUCACCUGACCACUUAUUAGUACAACAUUUAGUUUUGACACUAAAGUUUUAAGAAACUGUAGAUUCUAAGAGAACAGGGAUUCAGGAGACGAGCAGUAAAGAAACUAGUAAGAAAUCAGAUGAUCAUGAGCUCUCUCUCUCUCUCUGUGCAAUUUUUUUUAACAUGGUUUAAAAAAUCAAUUCAAGUCUAAAUAAUUUUGGAAUAGAUUCAUUUGAGUUUAAUAUUCAAAUAAUUCAUAUUUGGAUCAUUGAAUUUAACUAAUUUUUAAUUCAAAUUAUUGAAUUUUCUCCCAUUUAUCAGUAUUUCCUACAUUUUUCUAAUGUCAAAAUUGUUAAGGUAUCAAUUGAAUAGUAUUAUAUUAAGAAACCAAAAAAUUAUAAAGCUAAUUCAUAAUAUAACAAAAUUCUAUUGCUACUAAAAGAGAUUUGCAUAAAUGUACCAAAAAGAAAGGAUAAAAAUAUAAUACUAUACCUGUUAAGAUGUUAUAAGAAAGACUGAGUUUAAUUAGAGAAGUCAAAUUUCCAACCACGAGUGGAAUUUCACCUGAAACAUAUAAUUAAAUAUAUUAAUAUUUACUAAUAUUUUUCUAACAUAUCCUUAGUUUCUUUGUGAGCACUCCAUCUAAUUUUAAUUACUCAGAAAAAACCUAAAUUUUAUAAAACCCUAUGCCACAAAGCCACCACAAGAGAUCACCAGAAAAAAACUGAAGCAUCCAAAAAAUCUAUCAAGCACUGAACUCGAAAAGACAUCGUAUAACAAUGGUCACCAUCAGUAUGAACAAACAACAGCUCUAGAUUAACAAAUAUGAUAUUCAUCACUUCAAUUAAAAAGUUUUAAGGAAACGAAAGUGCAAAAUCUGAAGAGUUCAGAUAAAGGCUUAAAACGAGUCCUUAUAAGAUGGCAAACUUGACCAGAGGUGUGAAGUCAUACUUGAUAAGAUGACUCAAUCAACACAAAAACAAAUAAAGAUUUACUGUAUGACUAAGUUCAUUCUUAUUAGCAUUAAACUAAACAGUUAUUGUUUAAUUUCAUACUUCAUUAUUUAAAACAAUUGUUGAUUGAAAUUAUAUAAGAAAAAUGAAUGAAACAAUAAUGAGGAAUUGCUUACCCUUGAGGUUGUUGUAAUCAAGAUAUAAAUCUUCGAGCGAAGUCAAAUUUUCAAUCUCUCUAGGUAUACUUCCCUCCAAAGCGUUGUUAUCCAUUGAUAAAUAUGUCAGCUCUUUACACUUGAAUAAACUACUUGGAAUUUUACCGAAAAUCCGAUUCCAUUGUAAGUUCAGUACUUGCAAAUUCGAAAAGUUAUCAAAUAUUCUUGAUGGCAGACUACCUGCAAUGAAAAUUUUGUUAGUUGUCAAACCAAUUUUAUUAAGGAAAAAUAUAUUCAAGUUCAUCAAAGUUAUCCAAGUAUAACCAGGUCAAGUUUAAAAGAUUUCCAAGGCAUAUGCGUCUAAAAUAGUUGCUUUACAAUAAUAAGUGUUCUAAUUUUGACAAAUUGCUCAAAGUAGAUGGGUAACAAUAUUAAAUUUAAUAGCAUUCAAAUACAAACUUUGUAGUUUAAUGAAGUAACCAAACUAUGAUCGGAUUCUCUUAUUAUCAAAGUUCAAAUAUUUUAGACUAUGCAAAUUAGUUAACUUAAUAAGUUUCUUUUCAUGAAUAAUAGUAUUCCACAUUAUAUAAUGUUAUAAUAAGAGGAGGAGAAAUUCACUAAUGUUGAAAAUCGAAUGAUACAAAAGGAGUUUUGACUAUACUUGUUUAAAUGUUGAAAAAUCCUAUUUUAAUCAAUGUAAAAUAAAAAUGUAGUUCUAUAGGGAUUCUACUUGUGCGACAUGGUCCAUACCAUGAGGGCUCUGCCCCCGCACCCCAGUACAAUUUUUGACAAUAUAUUUUAUUUUUUAACAAGUGACGGGAUUUGAGUCAUACAACUCUAACAUAUAAAGAAUAAAUGGCACUAUAUAUUUCUUCCAAACCUCCUCAUGAACCCUUUGAAACAACAAAUCUCCAUAACCCAAACAAAAAUUUAUUAAUAAUAUUUCAUGAUAUUGGUACAAUAUACAAAAUACUGAGGCAAGUGUACUUGAAAUGGCUUGUGUAGUGCCAAUGGAAGUGGCUAUGGGGAUAGCAUUGCAACAAGCUUUAUAACUUUCCAUGUUUAAAGUAGCCAAAUUUUUAAAUAAAAUCUUUAAGUUGUAAACAUUUCUGAUAUUAUGAAACUAUGAUAACUUGUUUAGGAAGAUCGACAUUUAAAGUAAUUUACUUUAAAGAUUAGAUUGAAAAAGUAUUGGAGACAUAUCUCCAACCGUCCAUUUUAUGGAUGGACCUUAUUAUUAUAUUGUAUUGCUAUUAUAGUUGUUGGUUUUAAGGGGAAUCUCUUAUAUAUUUGUAUGAAAAUGUGUAAUGAAUUUUCUCUUGUUUUUUCUAAGCCAACAAUAUUAUAUUAAUAACCUAAAAGAUUAUAAAACUAAUUAAUAAUAUAACAAAGUUAUAAAGCAACUAAAAAUGAUUUUUUUAAGCAUCUUAAAAGAGCUUGCAUUAAUAAUAUAUAAACUAUGAUAUUAUACCUGAUAAAUUGUUAUAAGAAAGAUCGAUAUAAAGGAGAGAAGUCAAGUUUCCAAUAACGGAAGAAAUUUCACCUGAAACAUAUAAUUAAAUAUGUUAAAAUUUAUUAAUAUUUUUCUAACAUACCCAUGGUUUCUUUGUUGAGCACUAUAGGCAUAUGCUUUCUUUUCUUUUUUUUUUAAAUGUAAAUUUCAUUCAAUUUAAUAGCACUUAGAUAGCACCAAACAAUUUAAUUAUAAUGAAAAGAAACCUAAAAUUUAUAAAUCCCUAAGUAAAAAAAAAAACACCACAAGAGAUCACAAAAAAAGGUCACUAUAUUACGUUUCGUUCAAUGAAGAACCAUACUUGUAAAAAUCUAGGGAAGUUUAAAAAAUUGGGUUCAUGGAAUCUAUUUUAGUGUUGAUGCUAAUCAAAAGGUCUCUAUGAAGUGUGCAUCUUCAUUAGAGGAGACUGGCAGGAAAAAAUGGGUAGAAGAAGGAAACAUGUGCCUCGAGAAGCAAUUAAUGCGGUGGCCUUGGAAAAUACUUCUGGUACCAACAGUAGUCAAGAUUUGUUGUAGUCUGAUGUACAUCCGGAUGGAUUGAGGCAGGGAUAGGGAUCUUAAUGCUUUAGAACAAAUUGAAGGAGCCACCGUUAGUGGUAAAGGCAUCGGGGAUGAGAUUAUAAAAGUAAUUGACAAUAUAUAACAGAGUGCCACGAGAAAAGAAAAGGAUUGCAUAAUUGUAACAAGGAAAAGAAAAUCAAUUUUGUACCUGUUAAGUAGUUCAUAGAAAGAUCAAUGACCUUGAGUGAAGUCACGUUUCUUCUAGUUGAUGAAAAAUCGCCUGAAACAUAUAAUUAAAUUUGUCAAAUUAAUUUGGUGAUAGAAUUAUGUUUUGUUUUGUUCAGUAUAAUAGUGCGAAUGAGUAUCUUUGCGGUAAGACCUAUAAUCGUAGCUAGAACUCUCUGAAAUUUUUGAAAUUUUUCCUCAAACUUAUAAUUAAAUGCUCUCCAAAUAUCGAAUGAAGUUUUUGGACUUUUUCCCAAAAAGUUGACGUCCAAAAAAGUCAAGAUAAAGUAAUCAACCAUAUUCAAAUAGAGAUAACCAAAAGAUUUUUUGUAUUGCAGUGAAAUAUUUUGCUACUGCAACGGAAAAAUGUUAAAGAUUGAGGAAGGAACAGAACCUGCAGUUAAUAAAAUCAAUAUUCAUUAACUGACAAUUUAGACAAGGGGCAUCACUAUGAUAAAAUUCCCACAUGCAAUAAAUAGCACAAAUUGAACUAAAAUUGCUGACAUGACUAACAAUGGUACUUAUUUGACAUCAAAUAAUCGGCUGAGGGCUGAAUCGGUUCAAAUUUUUAAAAAAUAAAAUCGAGAAAGGUAUGAAACCUAAAAAGAGUUACCAUUCAAAUAUAUCGAUAUCAAGUUUGAAAGAUUUUCAAUCGUUCUAAGAAUUUAUCUUUUUAAAAUCGUUGUUAUACAAUAACAAGUGUUCUAAUUUUGACAGAUUACCUAGAAUAGAUGGGACAACACCAUUGAAGUAGUUAUCGGAUAAAGAUAGACUUUGAAGUUUAGGAAAGUAACCAAACCAUGACGGGACUUCUCCAUUGAAACUGUUGUUAUUAAAGUUUAAAUAUUUCAGACGAUGUAAAUUAGUUAGCUCAAUGGGUAAAGAGCCAUGAAAAUUAUUGUUAUGAAUGUCGAGCCAAGCAAGGAAAGAUAAAUUCCCCAAUUCAGAAGGGAUGAUGCCUGUGAGAUCCAUAUUUGACAAAUUCAGAGCAAUGACUCUGUGGUGUCUGGAUCCACAAGUGACACCAAUCCAAUUGCAAACUGAAGUAGAAGUAGACCAAUUGGUUACUAAGUGAUGAGGAUCAUGACUUAUAUAAGAUUUCAGUGCUAGAAGAUUUAAUUCAUCAGCGGUGAUAUUGAGUGAAUUUACAGACAAAAUAGCACCAAAAAUCACCAACAGCGCAAGCAUAGGAAAGGGGAGGAAGAUGGUUUAGCCAUAAAGUUGGGUGUGGGUAUAAAGCAAAUCAUAAAGAACAAAACAGCUGAAUUUAAUACUUUCGUAAUGUUAGUUGAAUAUUCUUUAAAAACUUCGAUUCCAGCCCCUUCAUAAAUCAUAAUAAUAAUAAUAAUAAUAAUAAUUCAGGCCUCCAAUCGUUGUACAAGUAAAAAGCCGAUCAUAUUCUGCGAAAACUCCAAAUAUAAAAAGAGUCUAAACAAUUAACGUAAGGUGAAAAAUGAAAACCUCAUAUCUACCAUGUUGACUAUGCACCCUACUUCUAUAUUUUGUCAUAGAUUCUAGAUCUUAAUAAUUUUGAUAAAAAGAAAACAUUAUCAUUAACAUGUCAUAUCGUAAAAUUAUGUACAUUUUUAAAGCUUCAAUAAAAAAAUUCGAGGAAAAUUUAGAGGAAAUUAAUGAGAGAUUGAAAAGGACACAUCGAUGGAAUGAUCCUGGUUUCAAGAUAAAAAAAAUUAUUUUGUAAACAAAGACCCGAUGAACGAUGUAUAAUGCAAAAGUUGUUCACAUGGAGUAUUAUAAUUCUCAAGUGACGGAAUCCUGCACUCUUGUUUUGUCAUUAUCUUGGUUUUCCACAAAUACAUCCAAGAUUAAGUUUGUUUAUGAUAUUUCGUGUUGCCUUAAAUAAAUGAUCCUAAAAUGCUGAGAAAGAUCCUGCUAACCUAACACAAUUAACUUCUGUCUAUGCUAAUAUGAAUUCUAAUGCUAAAUGUCAUUGUUAAAUGAUGUAUAUACUUUCGUUUUCUUGACUAUACACGACGAUUUUGCAAAUUAGACAAUAAUGUAAUUUUCAAAUAUAAUGUUUUUUUAGCAAUGACUUCAUUUGUUUAUCUAAAAAUGUUUACGAUGAUAAUAUUUUAUUUAUAAAAAUUUUUACCUAACAAUAAUAUAUUGGUUGCAAAUUAGAAUUUGCAACAAUGUAAAUUUAGAUGCUAUAUCUCUUACAUAACAAUAAAACUAUUGGCUAGCUGUCAAAUAUUAUUUUGUAACAAUAUUUUAAUUGGAUGUGUAUUACUUUAUGCUACGUUUGUAUAUCAUUGUUAAGAAUUUAUUUUAACAACCAUAAAAUGUGGUUGUCAAAUACUUUACGCAACAAUAAUAAUAUGGUUGUUAAUACUUAGAGAUGGCAAAAAAAUACGAACCUGACAGAUUUCAACUCAACCCAAUCGGUUAGGGUCGAGUUUUUUAUUUUUGAAAUCGGGUUUGGGGUGAGAUGGGGUGGAUUUUAAUAUUAAAAUUAGUCGGGGCAAGACAGGUUCAAGUUUAGGACUAAUUUGCCAUGCCCUACCCAUAGAUAUAUACAAAAGUACCCUUGUAUCUAUAACUUUGGAUUUUUUUCAAAGGUUAAACUUUGUCAUUAGUCUUUGUACUUUGUGAAAGUUUUUUUUAAUCCAUCUACUUUAAUUUAAUUAUUUUUAGUUCUUGUACUUUUCAAAUUUUAAAAUUUCAAUCCUCUCCAAAUGAUAAACUAUUAAUUUCAUUCAAUUAAGUUAUAUUAUUUCCCAACUUUGAUGCGGGAAACAUAUUAUCAUAUGUGUAAUAUCAAGUUAGCUUUUUUUCACAUAUUACUCACUAAAAAUUAGUUAAUGGAUUAAUGAAGAUCUUUUGCGUUAAGAUUGAAAUUUCAAAAUUCGAUAAAUAUGGGGACUUAGAAUGAUCUAGUUAGAGAAUAUGGAUUAAAUCUAUAAUUGUGCGCAUAGUACAAGACUAGUAAUUGAUCAUAACCAAACAGAUUUAACUGCUACUGUUUGAGUCAAGAUUGAAAUUAAUCAAUUCAAAAAGUACAGGGACUAAUAAUAGAAUUUAACCUUUUCUCUCUUCUUUUAUUAUUUUUUCUAAUUCAUGUACUUGUUUUUCUCCUUUCUUCUUCCAUUUCUUUUUCUUAAGUCCUUUAAUUUACAGGACAUAGUUUUUUUUUUUUCAAUUCAUUCUUAAGUGAAUGGACGUAAAAUUAUCAUUCCGCAUUGAAUAAUUUCAGAGGUUUAAAAAAAAAUCCGUUUGUUACGAUAUUAUCAAGUUGUUAGACAACUCAGCUUAUUAUGUUUUAAUGAAAUGUUUAUUAUUGUUGUUCUUAUUUGUUGUUGAGAUGAAAUUGAUAUUUGAAGUUUGAUUCUAGCGGUGUUAAGAGCCGCAUCAAUUCCUUCAUGCACUAGUAAUGAAAAAUGCAGGGAAAAAAAAAUAAAGAAUGCAAGGGAUGUUUAUGUAGUUAGGUUUCCUUAGCUAGAGAAAAUAACCAUUAUCUUAGAACCUCAUACAACAAGUGUUUUCAAGCUCUAAAAUUGAUCAGUUUAGACUUUUCACUUUCAUACCUAAGACCUAAACAUCUCCCCUAAAAAACGUAAGACUCUAACCAAGUCACACACAUGAUUAUUAUAGUAUAAUUCACUCACAAAAUGUCCCUCACUAAACAAAUUAAAGUGCUCUCUCUCUCUCUCUCUCUCUCUCUCNNNNNNNNNNNNNNNNNNNNNNNNNNNNNNNNNNNNNNNNNNNNNNNNNNNNNNNNNNNNNNNNNNNNNNNNNNNNNNNNNNNNNNNNNNNNNNNNNNNNNNNNNNNNNNNNNNNNNNNNNNNNNNNNNNNNNNNNNNNNNNNNNNNNNNNNNNNNNNNNNNNNNNNNNNNNNNNNNNNNNNNNNNNNNNNNNNNNNNNNNNNNNNNNNNNNNNNNNNNNNNNNNNNNNNNNNNNNNNNNNNNNNNNNNNNNNNNNNNNNNNNNNNNNNNNNNNNNNNNNNNNNNNNNNNNNNNNNNNNNNNNNNNNNNNNNNNNNNNNNNNNNNNNNNNNNNNNNNNNNNNNNNNNNNNNNNNNNNNNNNNNNNNNNNNNNNNNNNNNNNNNNNNNNNNNNNNNNNNNNNNNNNNNNNNNNNNNNNNNNNNNNNNNNNNNNNNNNNNNNNNNNNNNNNNNNNNNNNNNNNNNNNNNNNNNNNNNNNNNNNNNNNNNNNNNNNNNNNNNNNNNNNNNNNNNNNNNNNNNNNNNNNNNNNNNNNNNNNNNNNNNNNNNNNNNNNNNNNNNNNNNNNNNNNNNNNNNNNNNNNNNNNNNNNNNNNNNNNNNNNNNNNNNNNNNNNNNNNNNNNNNNNNNNNNNNNNNNNNNNNNNNNNNNNNNNNNNAUCAUUACACAAAAUAUGACAUAACAUAAGUAAUACAUUUUCUAAGUUCAAUUUCAUUAAACAAAAUAUGUCAUAACUCAUAACAAAGGUCAUUUUCAAGUUCAAUCUAUACCCCUAAUAAAAAGGCUUGUACAAAAAGAUGCAAAAAGAGAACACUCUCCAAGUUCAAUUCAUAGCAUUAGCAUUUCCAAUCUCUUCAUCAUUGGUAAAAAUUACCAUCUUCUUGUCCAGUUUAUCAAAAGAUAAGCUAGCAACUUCAAGAACUCCAGCUCCUUCAAAUGAGUCAAAUACAUUAUCUCCAAUAUCACAUAGCUUAUCAUCUCCUUUGUAAUGAUGAGUAUUUCUUGAAAGCAAUUAAAGAUUAGUAUGCACAAAUACUAAAUCUAUGGCACGUUGAGGACUCAUCUUGUUUCUCCUCAUUGAGUGGAUAAAAGAAUAUGUGCUUCAAUUCCUCUCACAGCAAGAUGAUGAGUAAGGUUGUCCAAGAAGCUUUUAAGGUUAAAUUUUGAAGCAAAGGUAUGGAAGCCCCAUGAAUUAACCUCCAAGACUUAGGCUCUAUUCUUUAUUGCUUAAAAAAAGCACUUCUGACUCUAAAAGUACUUUUGAAAGAAAAGCUGUGCAGAACAAACUGCUUUUGCCUGAAAUUUUUAGCUUUUCAGAAAUGCUUUUCAAAAGUACUUCUGAAAAGGAGAAGCUAAAAAUUUUAGCUUUUCCUCUCUCAAAAUUACUUUUGGUGCUUAAUUAAUUACUUUUCACCCUUCCAAUAACGUAGUACUUUCCUUUUUUUUUCUUGGUGCUUAAUUACAAAUGUGUUAAAAUUAUUAAUUAAAAAUUAAAAAUAUUUUUUAAAAUACUAAUUACAAAUAUUUAAUGGUUAAUAUUUAAAUAUUUAAAAUAUAGUUUAUAUAUUCUAAUUAAAUUUUAUAGAUAAUUAAUAUUUAUUGCUUAAAAAUAUUUAAAAUUUAUAUUUCAUAUAUUAAAAUAUUAACAACAAGUUAUAAUAAUUUUUUUAUAUUCUUACUAAAAUAUAAUAAUAUUAACUAAUUUAAAUAUGAUUGAAAUGCAUAUUUAUUACUUGAUAAUAACAUGUCUAAAAUGGACAUUUUAUUUCUCAAAAGCACUUUUUGGCAGCAAUGCUAAACACUCAAAUUUUAAACCAAACUUUUCAAAAGCACUUUUCCACAGCACUUUUCAAAAACACUUUUCAAAAGCAUCGCCAAACUAGCCCUUAAGAUCCAAAAGUCAUCUAUCUUGUAGUGAAUCAAAAUUAUCAAGUGCUCUCGAAAAUCUAGCAAAUUCUUGAAAAACCAUCUUCCUUUCCUUGGUAGAAGGAAAAUAUCUUCUUCAACACUAGUUCAUUUCCUCUGAGAUUUCUACAUCCUUAUAUAGAGGAAGGCAAUUUGGUACUUCAUCAAACCAUUCACUACAAUAAUACCUAUGUAAACAAAUAUAAUCAAAUUUUAUUAAUUUAUAAUAAGUAAAAAAAAUAAAGAUAUAUUUUAUUUUAUAAUAACAAAUUAAAAUUUACCUCGGAUUCAAUGAAUGAGCCAUGCAAUAAAGUGAUGUACUACUCUUAGUCCACUAAUCAAUAAGAAUAUCAUACACCACUUCACAAAAUAUUGAUCUUUCAUCUCCUUUCUUUCCUUCAUGCUUAUAAAUGUUUGUCUUCACUUUUUCAAUCAUUUCAUCCUUCAUCUCAUAAAUUAAGUGAAGAGUUAUUAGUUUAAAAAGUUGUGUUAAUUUUACAAAAAAAAUUACUAAAAUCUGUAAUCUAUCUAUAAUCUAUAUAAAAGUAUGAUUUAUAAUUGCUCCUCGCAAUCUUUUUAGUUGAUCUAUUUUUUAAUUUCUCCUAUUAAAAUAGCCUUAAAACUUAGUACAAUAAAACUCUCUAAUUUAUAAUUAAAGGGAUUACUUGAUUAUAAGAUUUUAAAAAAAAAUUGACCCCUACUCUUUAUUGGGCCAAUAUUGUUAUUUAUUAAUAAAAAAUAUAAAUUUAUAAUUUUUCUUAUAAUUUUAUAAUUUUUAAAUUUUAAAAAGGCUUACUUGAUUUUUAAAUUUUUUUUUCCUAAUGCCUUUUUGACCCUUUAGCUUUAUUAAUUUCAAAAUUUUUUAACUUACUUCAAAUAAAAGAGUAGGGUCAAAUUGAAUAAAUAUAUAAAGGUUGAGAGUUAAAUUUGUUAUUAUAUCUUGUACAUAAACUCCAAAUUUUAAUUUGAAUCUAAUUUAUGGUAACUAAUUUAUCUAUUUUUUAAUAAAAAUUAAAAUAUAGUAAAAAAAUUUUGUGAUACUUUUACCUAUAUCAUAUUAAUAGAUAAAACGAAAUAAUUAACAAAAUGGUUAAUGGUGAAAAUUUCUAAUUGAGUAAAAAAGAAAGCACUAAUAAUUUAUUGAUUUUAAUGAAGGGGGUCUCAUUUAUAGAAACGUGUCUUUUUCCCCUCCCCCGCUCAACAUUCAAUUAAUUUUAAUUAUAUUAUCCUUAAUCUUCACUCUACUCUUUUAAAAUAUAUAGCGAUUCUCACUUUAAAAUUCGUAAUUAGUGUUUACCUCUUUAAUGAUCUAUAAAACAUAAAAGAUUAGUUAUUAGACUCGUUCUAAUGAAUAUAUUUGGGAAAUCAAAAAUAGUAAACUAAGGGUGAGUUUGAAUAAGCGGUGCAUUUACUUGCAAUUAGUGUUAAAAUAACAGUAACAGUGAGAUUAAAUAUUAUAACAAUACUGUAACGUGAAAUAAGAAGUUAUUGGAAAAUUAUUCCAUACAUUAUCUAUAGAAAUUAUUAAAUUUUACAAGUGAAUUGAGGAUUUGACAAAUAUAUAAUUUAAAAUAUAUAUAAAUAAAUAAAUCAAAAGUCUUCCAAAACCUGAGUUGGCACCAAAAUAGUAGCAUUGGAGACAUCAAAAACAUCCACAAUUAAUGGAAAGACCAACAACAAAAAACCAAAUUGACCAAACAAUAUAUCUCCACCACUAAAACAACCUUGCCUACAACUAGGGGUGAGCAAAACUCGAUUCGACUCAAAAAAAUCGAAAAAAAAUUCAAAUUUCGAGUUAAACGAAUCGAGUUAUUCGAAUCAACUCGAAUUUUUUUUUUCAAAUUUCGAGUUGAGUUUUCGAAUUUGAAUAACUCGAAUAAUUUGAAUAAUUCGAAUAUCAAACUAUAAUAUUUUACAUUUUUACCCCAAACUUCCAAACCUUUCCCUCAAAACUUUUACUCCUUCGCACUUUCCCCCCAAAACUUUUACUCCCCUCCCUCCAACCUCAAAACUUUUACUCCNNNNNNNNNNNNNNNNNNNNNNNNNNNNNNNNNNNNNNNNNNNNNNNNNNNNNNNNNNNNNNNNNNNNNNNNNNNNNNNNNNNNNNNNNNNNNNNNNNNNAUCCAUUUCCCACCAAAAUUUUACUCUCCCAUUUACUUUUUCUCAAAAUUUUACUCCCAAAAACCCUCAAAACCUUUUAUUUUCCCCCAAAAUUUUUACUCCCUCCCACUUUUCCCCGAAAACUUUUAUUCCCUUCCCAUCUCACCUCCCAUCUACCCCAAACCCUCCCCCCUCCAAUUUUUUUUAAUAUUUUCCUUCCAAAAUUUUACUCCCCCUACUUACUUUCCCUCAAACUUUUAUUCCCCAAAACUUUUUAUUUUCCCCCUAAACUUUUACUUCUCAUCCUUUACUCUCAAAUAAAAAAUCAAAAUUAUCUAAAAAAAUCACUAAACAUAAAUAGUAAUAAUUGUAUUUAUAUCUACUAUUUAUAUUAUUAAAAUAAAUUUCACAUUUUAUAUUAUUUAUAUUAUUGAAUUGUUUAGUUAUAUUGAAUAUUUAUAUUAAAAUUGAAUUAUUAAUUAUGCCAUAAAAUAUUCGUGUUAAAAUUUUAUAUUGGUAUCAAUUUCACAUUUUAUUUUUAAAAUAACUUUUAUUAAAAAAAAUCAUAUUUUUACAUUUAAUAUAUUUUAUAAUUCCAAAAUACAUAGUGACAAGAAUAUGAAGAUAAUUGAAACAACUAAGCAAGCAAAGAAGCUAACCAGUAUAUAAAAAAUUAAUAAAUAACUUAUGAGGUGAUGAAAGUUAAUAAAAAAUUUGAUUAAUGUGGACAAAUUUUAUUAAGAUGGGUGACAGCGGUUAUAAGGACCCAAAAUUAUUUUUUAAAAUUUAACUCGAACAAAUAUAUUCGAUUCGAUUCGAUUCAAAUUCCAUCUCACUCGACUCGAUUCGAGAAAACUUCAAAUAAAGUUAGGAUGAUAAAAUGAGAUUUGAAAACUCGGUUAACUAGAAAAUUUUUUAUUCGAUUCGAUCGAAUGCUCACCCCUACUUAUAACCAUGGAUAAAGCCAUCCCUCAAAGUUGAACUGCACCAAUAAUCCAAAACUGUCGCAGAGAUCCAACACCGAGAUUCAAAUCAACCAAGUAAAAAUCACAAUCCAAAAUUCAACGGAGAACAACCAAAAUAACACCACACACUCAAUUGAACCAAAUACAAAGAACACUCCAAACUUCAAUAUCCACAUUCUCUCCUCCAAUCCAAGAAAUACCCACCACAAACUCUGAUCCAAAAGCGAUGCACAAUACACAAAAGAACAAUAAAUAACUCUUAUCUUCAUCACUCAUAAAAACAUGGAACCUCAACAAAACUUAAAAUCAUAUCUCCGCUAAAGAAUGGAUCAUAGUUUUAGAUAGAGUCAUCCUUACGAACGUAACAACUUCACUUCACGAAACAUGAAAACGCAUCUUAUAGCUUUAAAGUUUACCAGUUAAUCUAUCCAUCUCAAGUUGAACUAAAUCAUUGAUAACUUCCUCAUCAUAAUUUCUGUCUUCCCUAAGACCUAACAUUUUACCUAAUUCCCAAGUUUCUAUGGCCUCUUUCAAAAUUACUUUCUUACCAUUCUUGAAAUCAGAAACCGAAAGCGAUUUAAUGGCAAAUAUCUUUAACGAUGUUGUACAAGCCAAAAUCUAGAAUGACCCUUUUUCUAAACUGGUGAUAUCAUCGUUAAAGGGCUCAACAAUGUAGUUCGUCCCAUCCUUGUAAGUUCUCACUUCUUCAACCAUCAUGUAAUAUCUCUCAUUGAGCUCAUUAGGAUCAUAUCCAUAUCCUUUUCUUUUGUAGAGCCCAAAAUCAAAUUAUUACCUAAUUAAUUGAUGGAGGACGGACUCUUUUUGGAGACGUUUUUAAAAUGUCCUUCGUCAGACAGUCAGAUUCGGUUCACUGACAAUUAAUGGUAUUGUUUCUGAAAGAGGGUUUCGUCUCCUGUGCUUUGUCGAGAGUCAGCAUGCCACAAGUGAUUGCCCUAAAGGCUUAGUUUACAAAGCUCAAGUGGUACCAUAUGCCCUAACAAAUGACCUAUAUAACAUAGGUGAGGAGUUCAAACCCCACCCAAGACGAACUGCUCAUGUUGCUUCUCUUUCUAUCUGUCUUCCUCUCAUUUUCUUAACCGUGUCAUUUUGAUGUAUUAUUUGGAUGUGUUUUGCCUUGAUCUAUUUUGUUGUGUUCCUGUGAUGUUAAUACAUAGAUUUUAAGGUUUUAAGCGCAACAUAAAUAUUGUGAUUAGUAAUUUGAGUAAGGAAUACUUACAACAAACGGAACAGCCAAAAAAAAAAAAAAUGAAAGACUUAGCCCCAACUGAUUUGAUGAAACUCUGAUUGCUUCAACGGUCCAUACAUCUAGCAUUAGCCAAGCACACCAUGAUUAAGUUUUUAAUUUAAAUUUGAUUCUAAUAUAUAUAUAUAUAUAAAUUAAAAAAAUAAAAUAUUAAAAUGAUAUAUAAAAAAUCUAAAAAAAAUUAAAAUUAUAUUGUGCGAUUGUUGAAACCGUCGAAAAUAAAUUCCUACUCAAAAAUAAUUUUACAAAUAGCAGUGAAUAGGAUCAAAUCCAUAGAAAUUGGUGAUUCUGUGUUUAAUCAAUAAAAAUAAAAAUGAUGGGAGAUUUUUAUAAAACUAAAAUAAAACUAGAACUAAACAAAAUUAAAUUUCAAACCUAGUAAAAAAACCAAUAAUCAAAAGUUGGAGAGAAAAUCAAUAAGGUGAAACUUUGGCCAAAGGUAAAAUCCUGGUUUGAUUCAUGAAUUUUAUCAUUGAAGAAAGCAUGAUUUUCAGUGUGCUUUAAUAAAUUGAUUAUAGUUUCCAAUAAUCAUCUAGCAACUAAUUUUUUUUUACUUUUUUAAUAAUUUAGAAAACCGUAAUUAAUUAAUUGAUUAACCAAUACUAACACUACAAACAUUAGUUGAUGGACUAACGCUUUCACUACCACUAGCACUUUGAGAAGAAGUCGCGGUUAAAAACUUAAAAUAUUAACAAAAAUGAAAAAGAAAAAUCAAUUUAUGCUUCAAAGUAACAUGAAAUUAUUUAACUAUAUAACACUAUAAAAAUAUAUAAUAAAAUAAAAAUAACCCAUUCAAAAACAUAAAAGAAAUGCUAAACAUACCUACUUUGGAGCCUUGAAAUUAAGUUAUGACGGAAAUUUUGAAGUUGUUUAAAGCGUCAUUUAAAUAUUACAAUUUUUUUAAAUAUUUAUAAAUUAUAUUGAGAUAAUAAUUUAAUUUCAUUUAUUCAAAAUUAUGUUAUUAAUCCAAAUAAUGUAUUGAGGUAACAUUUGGUAUUGGUUAAAUUAACCUAGCGAGGUAACAUUUAAUAAUUCACUUGGUGUUGAUGUUGUGAGAUAAUAAUUUUAUUCAUUCAUAAUCAUGUUACUAUAAUCCAAUUGAUAUACUAACAUUACAUUUACUAGUGGUUGAAUUAAUCCAAUUGAUGUAAUGAUGAUUUAGGGUUUGGUAAUCCAAUUGCUAUAGUGAGAUAUAAAAAUCCAUUUGAUGUAAUGAGAUCGUAAUUUAAUUUAAUCACUUUGUUAUUGGUUGAAUUAAUCUAUUUAAUGUAGUAAAUGCUAUUGGUUGAAUUAAUUUAGUUGAUGUAGUGGGGUAACAUUUGCUAUGACUUGAUUGAAUUCAAAUGACAUAAUAAGGUGGUUUGUCAUUCCAAUUGGUGUAGUAAGAUAUUUAAUAAUUUAAUUGCUGAUAAUUUACUUUCAUUUAUUCACAAUCAUAUUAUUAAAAUAUCAUAAUCUAAUUUAAUCUUAAUUAAUUAAAAUAUUUUGAGCUAACGUUCGUAUAAAUCAAAUGUUAUUAUUUGUGGGUAAAUUACACUCAUGGUCACUUUUGUUUACUUCAGGUUACGUUUUAGUCACUUAUGUUUGAAAUGUUACGUUUUAGUCACUUAUGUUAUCGUGUUGUAACAUUUUAGUCAUUGAGCCAUUAAUUGUCGUUAACAGUAUAACGGUAAGCUAAUGUGGCGCAUUAAAUCAUCAUUUCAAACAAAAAAAAUUAGGUUAAAUUAUACAAUUGGUCCCCAUAAUUUUUUUCAUUUUGAGCAAUUUAAUUUUUUCUUUUAUGUUCUUUUAACUUUUUUUUUCAUUAAUUUCCAUUCUCUUCUGCUUCUCCCUCUAUUUUCCUACCUUCUCCAUUUCUUUCAACAUAUCAGGAAGUCGAAUUGGCAGUGAAGAAAAAAGCAUGGUAUGGGUUUAUGGGUUUUGGUUAUAGGCAAUUAUGGUUUUCGACUUAUUUCUUCACUGCCAAUUCGGCUUCUUGAUAUGUUAAAAGAAAUGGAGAAGGUAAGAAAAUAGAGGGAGAAACAAAAGAUAAUGGAAAAUAAAGAAAAAAAAUUAAAGAACAUAAAAAAUUUAUAUUGCUCAAAAUGAAAAAAUAUGGGGAUCGAUUGUAUAAUUUAUCCUAAAAUUUUUGUUUGAAAUGAUGAUUUAACGUGCCACGUCAACUUAUCGUUACACUGUUAGCGACAAUUAAUAGCUCGGUGACUAAAAUGUUACAACACGAUAACAUAAAUGACAAAAACGUAACAUUUCAAACAUAAGUGACUAAAAUGUAACCUAAGGUAAACAAAAGUGACCAUGGGUGUAGUUUAUCCUAUUAUUUGUAUUAAUAGUUACGUAUUUAUUGAUAAAAAAGUUAUGUAAUUUAAUCUAAAAAUUAUUAUUUUUACUUAUAUGAUUGAUGUAAUUAACUAAUAAUUUGGAUAAAUAUUAUGAGUUUAUAUGAAUUAAAUGUUAUUCGUCUAAUCUCUUUCUUUAUUUGGCGUAUCCCGUGCGUAUCUACAAACAUAUGUCUAUAUUGGAUACUUGUGCGACACCGCUAUGAUGAUUAUUUCGCUGUAUCGGUGCUUUAUAGUUUACAAGUUUAGAUCGACACGAACAAAUUUUCAUACUCGAAGCACGUUUUGACAGCUCUUAAAACAACGUCAAAGAAAAAUACUGAUAAAUGAAAAAUGUGCUUCUUCUCUGCCUAUAGUGUUGCCUGUGUCAAUAGUAACUGGGUUGCCAUGUAACUCACCAUGUUGAAAUAUACAUGUGCUACUACAGAAUUGCCAUGUGAUGUUUCUGCAGUUCCAAUUGGGCUGUCAUGUGAUGUUCAAAUACACAUGUGCUACAAUCUGGAGUUGACUUAAAUUUUAGUGGGGCCCAUCGUUCUCCUAGUAAUAUUUUAUAUGUUGAGAAUUCAAGUGGUUGACGUGAUGAAGAAAGGCAAAAUAUAUGCCGUGAUUCACUCCAGAAAGCAAGUGCAUCUGAUAAAUCGCAAUUGCCAGUUGAUGACUAAUAGCUAUGCCUUCCCAUCCCAUUCUUACAAACAGGGCUCAAAAAGGGAUUUUUAAAUCCACUUUGUUCUUCUUCGAUUCAUCACAUGUUGUAUAGAUAUAUGUUGUCCAUUGUCAAACUAAUGUUUGCAAAUUAGUUUUUUUUUAUAAAUAAUUAUAUUAUUUUUAAAAGAUAAUACUGUUUUUUUUUUUUUUACUUUUCACUUUAUAUAAUUGUGGAAUAAUCAAAUUCAAUAUUAGUGUAAAAUCUGUCAAUGCAUUACCAUAAAUAUAAAGUUCAAUUGAAAAAAUUUGGGAUUGGAAUAAUAAAUUUAUUUUGAAAGUCAUAUAAUAAUUGGAGGAUUCCAUUAAAGAAUUGUCUACGCGAAUGAUUAAUGGAGAUGGGAAAUAAAAAUAUAUGGAAGUUAUACAACUUUACAGUUAAAGGUCAAAUUUUGCUACUAGUCCAUGUAUUAUGUGUCUAUUAAAUUUCUUAAGUUAAACUAUUUUAUUUUCAAAAUCUUUUACAAUAAAAUAUUAUUACAUAAAUAAUAACUUAUUAGCUGAUAUUUCCAAAUAAUACUAAAAAAAUCAUGGUAUUUAAGAAAAUGAAUUUAACAAUCAUAGUUUGAAUCAAGAUUAAAAUUUCAAAUUUAAAAGUAUAUUGAUUAAAAAGAAUCAAAUUAGAGAAUAAAGACUUAAUUCACAACCUAUGCAUAGUACAAUAUUAAUAGAAAUUUUUUAUCUAACAUAUUUAACCAGUACCGUUUGACCAAAUUGACCUAAAGUCUCAAAAUUUGAAAAGUACAAUACUAAAAUUGACCAAAUUAGAAGGAUUAAAUCCACAAAUUUCUCAAAAUAUAUGGACUAGUAGCACAAUAUGACCUAAAUAAAAUUACUCAGUCUUCCUCCAACUUGGUUUCCAGUUAAAUAGGACUGGCUGUUGCUACUUCUUUCUACACUUCACAAUAAAGUCUUUCUUUUUUCUUUUCACGCUCGCUAGAAUUGAAAUUAUAGAAAGAUUACAUUUUGAGAAAUUAAUUUUCAGAACAAUCUAUGGAUUUCUCUGCUGUGUCUUAUGCUCUCGAAACAAUCGACAAGUUAACACAAGAAGUUACAUCCUUGUGGGGCGUCGAUGAACAAGUUGAGGGCUUAGCAAGUGAGCUGAGAUGGAUGCAAAGCUUCUUGAAAGUGGCAGACGCAAGAAGAGUUGAUCAUGAGGUGAUACGUACCACCGUUGUUGAGAUCAGAGAGUUGGCCUACGAUGCUGAAGAUGUGAUCGAGACGUUUUCCCUCAAAGUUGCUUCCAAAAGGAAAGGUGGAUUUUCAAAUUCCAUCAAAAGAUCCGCUUGUUUCCUCAAGGAGGGAUGUCUGCUCCACCAGAUCAAGUCAGAGAUAGAGAAAAUCACAGCCAGAAUCAAAGUAUUGACUCGACAAAUGAAGACGUAUGAUGUAUCAAAGUUAGGUGUUGAUGGAGAAGGACCAAGUUCUUCAACUGAAAGGCGGGAGGCAAGGCGGCCUUAUCCUCAUGUUAUGGAUGAUAACAUUGUUGGAUUGGGUAAGGGUAUUGAGAAACUGGUCUCAGUUCUUGUCGAUGAGGAAAGCGAAUGCAAGGUUCUCUCCAUAUGUGGCAUGGGUGGUCUGGGGAAGACCACUCUUGCCAAGAAAAUAUAUAGUCAAAGCAAAGUUGUUGGUCAUUUCAAACACUUGGCUUGGGCAUACGUUUCUCAAAACUGUCAAAAAAGAAAAGUAUGGGAAGACAUUUUAUCUGAUUUUAACCUCUUAAGUGAAGCUGACAAGAAGAUGAAGGUUGAAAAAUUAUCGGAGAAGUUAUCUAGUUUCUUGGAGGAAAUAAAUGUUUGGUGGAACUCGAUGAUAUUUGGAACACCGAGUCUUGGGAUAGCUUAAAACCAGC